CUGCUUUACUCUGUUUUAUAUUCCUUAUGGCUGCAGUAUCUAUGUUAUGUCAUCUGCUUCUGUGCUGUACUAUGUGUUUGUUUGAUAUCUCGUAACUUGAGCCGGGGGUCUUUCGGAAACAGCCUUUCUACUUCAUCAGAGGUAGAGGUAUGGACUGCGUACAUCUUACCCCCCCCAGACCCCACUAAGUGGGAAUACACUGGGUUUGUUGUUGUUGUUGUUGUUCUUAACACUCAACUUUUCCUUUUUUGGUAGACAUAGGAAAUUUAUAAUAUGAACAACACGUCUACAGGGAUAUAUGUGGUGGCAGCGUUACUCUACAAACACUAACAGCAACAGUAGUUGUCCUUCUGAAACUAUUAUUUAUAACGUGGUAAGUAGUAGCAUUAUUAUUAUACAAUAUCUCAGUGGUAGUAGGCAGUCUAGCUAUCCAACAUGAUGACUCUCCAUUUUUGUCGUCUCGCAAAAUGUUCAAAGUAGAGGACGGAGGCUCCCACAUCAACGUAGUACUAUUAGUAUUACAUAUAUUUAUUCUGGCGUAUGCCAUCUUACAUUGUUCCCUGUAAACGUAACUCAGCGGCGGAUCAUGCAGUCUAUGGUACAUAACAUUGACAGUGAGAAAAGCUCUAGUCAUACUGAUAUGCAAACAAGUGGCUAAGAUUUCAAGCUCAGCAAUUGGGAAGUCACUCAUCUCCUUGUUAGGAUGAAUGUUUAGUAGUUUGUUUUGUUUUUCUUUCUGUUUUCAGAAUUAUUUUAAGGUUAUAGUUCUGAAUCUAUCUUGUUUUGUUUCUUUGUCGUCUUUGUUUAAACCCUUGUAUGUUUUCUUUCAAUGAAAUGUGUUGUACCUUGUUGUUUUGUCUUAUUUUAAGUUUGUUUGUUUGUCUUUUUUUUCAUGCAAUUCAUUUUAUGUUGAUUCUAGUGCUAUGACAUACCAACGAAAUUUUCAGCCAAAUCUUAAAAUCUAGUUUAAUCAUGAAACAUUGAAUUAGAGGGCUAAGGUUAGAAGAAAAAGACAUAUGAGAAACAGGUAGAAUGUUAAGACAUUUGGUGACUAUGUUGAAGUCUUCUUUGAAAAUUAAGGCAAUUAUUUUGAGAAUCACAAGAAUAACUUGGUCAUCAAUUAAAAGACAUGUCUCAAUUAGGUCAAAUAAUGAAUGCGAGAUCCCUAUUCAAGAGAAACAGAAAGAUAAUCAGCUCCACGAAAACAUGAGUCAUUCAAUAUGAGGAUGUACAACAAAGGUGGAGUUGUAGAUUUGAGAAGUGUAAAAUAAGAAGUGGAACACAUGCUCAGUUAAAGUUAGUGUUGUUAAAGUGUCACACAUGAUCUUCAUCUCCCACUUUCAUAUUGCAUGUUAUGUACUUGCAUUUUCAAGGAUUGAUAUGAUGAAGACAUUUUAUUCUCUUAUCCAAACAUUGUGUCAUCCUUUGUUUACCUCAUUUGAGCUUUAGUCUUAUUUUCUUUCAUACCCCUCUUUUGAAAUCAAGAUAGAGUCAGCAAAACUCGAAAGAAAAGUGUCGAGCAAAAGACUAGAGUCAGAAAAGUUUCAAAAAAAAAAGUAAAGAAAAAUAUGGCAAAAAGAAAGAAAAGAGAAAAAGAGUCAAUAACAACUGGAAAAAAAAUCAGAAUCAAGAAAAAGAACAAGUUAUCGAAACUACGUGUGACCUGAUUCUCUCCUCUCGAGGGUGAGAAAUACAGGCUGCCCUACUCUGGGCUCGGUCCAACCAAAUAAACAAUUUAGAAUUACUCAGUUAAAGAAACUGGGGCAUGGGUUAAUUUUCAUUGUUUGAGUCUAUUUCGAAAGUUGUAAGUUCCACCCCAUUUCAUCUGUCGUUUGAGCCUCAUGCCAUCCUUUCUUUCUAACCUUAUCCAAAAGUCAAGUUACAAUCAAAGGAAGACCUUCAGAUCAAUUUUUAAGAAUGUUAAGGCUACGCAUGCAAUGCAUAUGAUGACGUAUUUUGGGAACCACUUGUCUUUCUCGGCAUAAGGAGUUAGGAGAGAAAUAAAAAUGAGAGAGUCUUAUUGGUUAAAAUCCUCACGGGCAUCAUAAGACGAUGGUGAGUUGAGAGAAAUAAAAUGAGAGAGUCUUAUUGGUGAAAACCUUCACGGGCACCGUAAGACGAUUGUGAGUUUAAAAAAUGAGAAUAAGAGAGUCUCAUCGGUGAAAAUUCUCACAAACACCAUAAGGCAAUGGCGAGCUGAGAGAAAAAAAAUGAGAAAGGCUUAUUGGCGAAAACCUUCAAGAUGUCACUAGCUGAAUGGGAUCUAUAAGUGCAAUUGACCUAAGGAACAACUCAGUUUCAGGGCCAUUAACUCAACAAUAAUUGGUGAAAAGUUUGGAUGAAAAGAUCAGGUAGCUUAAUCCACAAAAUACACGGUAUAAUCAUUAGAGUUGACUGUCAUUUUUAGAUGAAUGUUCCGUUUCUUUGUUUCAAAUAGGGACAUUCAUUUUCCUUUUAUUUCUCCUAAGUAUCUUCGUUUUCUUGAGUCAAUUAUUUCAAAAAAUCAUCAUUGUCAUUUUUCUCGUGUUUUUGAGUCGAGUCUGUGUCAUAACAAGUGAGAAAAAUUUUUAAAACUGGCUACCAGUUUCUUCAAUUGCACAAAGCAAGACAAAAAGCCAACACAUGAAAGAAACAUGAUUGUGAAUCGAAAUAAGGCAUGCAGAAAGUUUUGUCAACAGACGAGUCUGGGAACUCAUGGAAAUAUCAAGGUUCAAAGAGUUUAUUUGAGGAGCAUGGCAAAGUAGAGAUACUGUGUUUGUUUCAGAGUCACUUUUAAUAAUCUGAGUUUGGGUCAAUGAUGCAGCAAGUCAGUAACAGAUGCUAAUGGUUGGAAGCAAAUUUAAAUGUGACGAGGGCAAGAGUGAUUGCCAAGGAAGCUAAAGUCACAAACCUGUCACCAAAUUUUUGAACUCACAAGUUUUCUUUGAUGAAACAGGAAACAUGUUACCUUUAAAUCAAGGAAUUCAGAGCAUAAAUAUCAAGGGUUGCAAUGCCUCAUUUCCACAAAUGCAGAAAGCAAUGUUGCUACACACCUUUGAUAAUCAAAUUAUGGUAAAAAUUUAUCAUCCUAUAUCCUUAGAAGGCAUACUUCUUUGUCCAGGUAUUUAAGUUUUCAAUUGCUAAGUGAUAUACUUCUUAAAUUGAACCUUGAUUCCUAGAAAAUGUACCUUUAUUUGAGUCAUUCCUCUUGAUUCCUAUACGACGUACCCUUUAGUUGAGUCAUUCCCCUUAAUUCCUAUAUGACGUACCUUUUAGUCAAGUCGUUCCCCUUGACUCCGAUAAAGUGUACCUUUUAGUCGAGUCAUUCCCCUUGACUCCUAUAAGACAUACCUUUUAGUCUAGUUAUUCCCCUUGAUUCCUAUAAGACGUACCUUUUAGUCGAGUUAUUCCCCUUGAUUCCUAUAAGACGUACCUUUUAGGCGAGUCAUUAACCUUUUAGUCGAGUUAUUCCCCUUGAUUCCUAUAAGACGUACCUUUUAGGCGAGUCAUUAACCUUUUAGUCGAGUUAUUCCCCUUGAUUCCUAUAAGACGUACCUUUUAGGCGAGUCAUUAACCUUUUAGUCGAGUUAUUCCCCUUGAUUCCUAUAAGACGUACCUUUUAGGCGAGUCAUUAACCUUUUAGUCGAGUUAUUCCCCUUAAUUCCUAUAAGAUGUACCUUUUAGACGAGUCAUUCCCCUUGAUUCAUAUAAGACGUACCUUUUAGUCGAGUCAUUAACCUUUUAGUCGAGUUAUUCCCCUUAAUUCCUAUAAGAUGUACCUUUUAGACGAGUCAUUCCCCUUGAUUCCUAUAAGACGUACCUUUUAGUCGAGUCAUUCCCCUUGAUUCCUAUGAGAUGUACCUUUUAGUCGAGUUAUUCUCCUUGAUUCCUAUAAGACGUACCUUUUAGUCGAGUCAUUUCCCUUUAUUUGUAGAAGAUGUAGAUGUACUUUCUAGUUGAGUCAUUUCAUUUAAUCCCUAGAAGACGCACUUCCUUGUCUGGGUAAUUUGAGUUUCACAUGUUAGGAGACGCACUUCCUAAUUUUAGUUAUUAGUUUUACUCUGAAGAGACGCAUUUCUUUAACAGGGCUUUGAUUUACACUCUUUACUGUAGUUUUCAAAAGUUGUGAUCUGAUUACACUCACAAAAUUUUCUAGUGCAAACUGCGGCAAAAAAAUUUGUUCGUGUUUAUCGAAAAUUAUUUUAUGCUCAGGACUCUUCUGAAGAAUGAGAAUUUAUUUACGCUCUGGACCCUCUUGAAGAAUAAGAAUUUAUUUUACGUUCAGGACCCUUCUGAAGAAUGAGAAUUUAUUUACGCUCAGGACCCUCUUGAAGAAUGAGAAUUUAUUUUAUGCUCAGGACCCUCCUGAAGAAUGAGAAUUUAUUUAUGCUCAGAAUCCUCCUGAAUAAUGACACUUUUCUUUUCUAGUUCUUCUUUUAUUUUGAGUUCAAGAGCCCGUCUGAGGAAUAGGGUGAAGAAAUAACAAGCCAAGAGUCCGCCUGAAGAACAGGGUGAAAAAGUAACAAGUCAAGAGCCCGCCUGAAGAACAGGGUGAAGAAGUAAUAAUAAGUUAGGAGCCCGCAUGAAGAACAGAGUGAAGAUUGUCAAGUUCAAGUCGGAGGAAAGUUUGAAGAAUAAAUCAAUUGUCAAGUUCCUCUCCAAUGCCAAAAGCCAACGAGAAGGAACAUUUUGUGUUUCAAGUUCAGCUCAGAAUAACGACUAUCUCACCAUUUGAGAGGUCAUGAAGAUUCAAAUCAAGAUUCCAGAAAAGUAGCAUAGAUAGAAUCUUUCACUUGUAUCUUCAUUUUAUUUUUUGUUAUUCAUUUCAAUGUAAAAGCAGAAAGUUGGAAAUCGAAAACUCGACGGAACCUCACACAACCUUUAACUCAUUCCCUCACCAUUUUACCUUUGAACUAUACGUGAUCUAACCUGGGAUAUGUAGGCGGUCCAAAACUAGGACUCGAUCACAUCUUUUAUUUUAUUUUCUUUGAUCCUUACCUUAAAAAUAAUCGGAGGUCAAAAAUACAAUAAAAGUUUAUAAAUAACCAAAAAUAAAUAUAAUUAAGGUAGAAUUAAAACUAUUGACUUAUUUCUUGAAAUAAAGGAAAGAUAUAUUUUUGAAUUUUUGUAUUGUUUUAUAGAACAAAAAUAAAAAUAAAAAUAAAAAAUUCCAAAAUUUAACUUUAUUUAUUUAUUUAUUUAUUUAUUUAUUUUUGUCUCGAUUAAGAAUGCGGCGUAUACAUCAUUUUUGAGAUGGUUAAAAAAUAAUUUAAGGAUGCAAUAAUGCUCUUUGACAAAUAUUUUCUGAAAUUAAUUUUUCAUUGAUUUAAUACAAGAGUUUUAAAUAGUUUUUAUAUAUUAAAAAUGAGUGAAUAUUAGGUCUUCACAUGAUUUAUUCAAAAAUAGUUUAAGUCAAGAUAAGUCAAUAAAAGCGACCGUGCUAAGAACUACGGGAUUCGAGGUGUCUCACACCUUCUCCUCAGUCAACAGAAUUCCUUACUCGAUUAUUUGUUCUCGCAGACUUAAAAAAGAGUUAUUUCUUUUUUAUUAGAGAUUUAAAAAGGUGAUUUGGAACAUCAUGACUUAAUUCCAAGUGGCGACUCUAUAAAUGAUAAAAAUAAUGCCUACUCAAUAUCGUCACUUUAAUCAAAAAAUUUCUUCAACCCUCGGGCGAAAAAGAGAUGUGACAGUAAAAUAGUCAUAUUAAUUAUUUUUUCUUAAUGUCAAAAGUAAACAAAUAAAAGUAAACGAAGUUAAUCUCAUAUUAAUUGUUCACAUUAUUUAUCCUUUCUAAGAUCGAUUUUUGUAUAUUAAUGUUGAUGGAUUUAUUCGCAAUUUACAUAGUCAAAAAAAUAAUAUUAAAAUGAUCAACGAGUCAAUAAUAAAUUUAGAUUAUAUAGAAAAAAACACUUAUAAACAACAUACUAUUAAAACGAUUCAAAGAGUGUUAAAAAUAGUUGAAACGUUAAAUUAAAAUAACACAAAGUGAAUAUCCUGGUAGUUGAUAAAUAAAAAAAUCGAAUCAGAUAGAUAUAUUUAGGAGAAUGAAAAAGAAUGGUUAUUCGGUGGAAACUAUUCCCAACCGAAUAGCCAAGAACUUUGAUAUGCCAUUUUUUUAGCCAUUUAUUCCUUCAAUGUUUCAAUUGCAGUUUACUCUUCUUGUUUUUUUAUUUUGUUUUGCUUUCUUAAAAUGAGUUUUAUUGCAAUUUUUUUUUUUUUUUUUUUAAAGUCACUGCUCUUCCGCUUUUUCUUUUCAAUUCAUUUUUUCUGCACUCUUUUUGUUGCUCUUGUUUAUUUUUAAAAAUGGUGUAUUAUUAUUUGUGUGUUAAUAAAUAUAUAAUUAAUAUAUAGUUAAUGUAAAUCAUAUAUUCAUAUAUAUAUAUAUAUAUAUAGAUACACACACAUAUUUUAUGAUACACACAUGCUAAUUUGCAUAUUUUUUCACAAUUAAACAAGAAAAGAAUGUAUUUCUUUCAUACAAACAAAUACAAAUUAAUUAUUAUUUUUUAAUUAAUUAAAUAUUAAAAAAAUAUAAAUUUUUAUUGACUAUAUACAAUAACAUGUUUUAUACAACAACGAUUCAUAUACAUAUUUUAUACAACGAUGAUACAGUUUUUGUACAUGUCUUAUACUGAUCACAUCCUAUACAAUAAUGAGACAAUUUUUAUAUAUACAUCAUGUACAAAAUUUAUAUUUUUUUUGUUUCUCAUCCGGUAUUCGGUGUCCGUAUUGGAUCCCCGACUAAUCCGGAUCGCGUGUUGCAGGGCCCAUUAAGGUGGCAGCGCUCCCAACGGAGUUUUCUCUGUACCCAGGGUCGAACCCUCGACCUCUGGUUAAGGGUGGAGCAGCCUCAUCCACUGCACCACAACCCAUGUUGGUCAUAUUCUAUACAACAAUUAGACAGUUUUAAUCCUCAUUCUUUACAACAUCUAGCUCCAAUAAUUAUUUCAAUACAUAUUUUAUAAAAUAAUUAUACAAUUUUUAUACGUCUUAUCUUAUAUAACUUUUAUGAUCUCUCACUAGGGCUGUUAAUUGGGUCGGUCUGAGUCAACCCGGAACCAUCCCGUUAUGUUUAGUUUGUUUGUGGGUCGGGUCCGGUUUCGGGCCAGGUUAAAAAGGGUCCGGCCAUUUCUGCGCCCAACAGUAAAUUUUAUUAAAACAAUCCAGGACCGGUCAACUAAACCUAACCCCGUUCAACCCACCUAAAAUCGAUCAAAACCGGUCNNNNNNNNNNNNNNNNNNNNNNNNNNNNNNNNNNNNNNNNNNNNNNNNNNNNNACCCCCCCCCCCCCCCCCCGCCCCAAAAAAAAAAAUCUCCAAUAUACACUAUAUAUACUCACCUAUAUACAUUUUAAAUACGUUAAACAAUAUAUAUACACACUAUAUAUAUAGUAUAUACUACAUUAGAAUUUAAAAAAUAUAUACACAUAUGCACAAUUACACAUGUAAUCGUGUAUACGACUAUACGUUAGUUAAUUAUAUAUCUCUAAAUAAAACAUAUACUACAAUAUAUAUACUACAAUAUAAUGAUAUAUAUACUAAUUUAUAAAAUAUAUACACAUGUAUACAUUAAAUAUAUACUACUACUUUAGAGUCUAUAGAGAUAUAUAUACACAUAUAUACGUACCAUUCAAUAUAUAUGUACUACUAUAAAUAAAAUAUACUACAAUAUACACACACACUAUAUAUAUAGUUAUAUACUAAUUUAUAAAAUAUAUACACAUGCAGUGGCGGAGCCAGAAUAUUCACGAAGGGGAUUCAUAAAUGAACAUACGAACUAACCGAAGGGAGGUUCAACAUCUAAUAUUUAUACAUAAAAAAUAAUAUUAACCAUGCAUAUAUAGCAUAAUUUUUCGCCGAAGGGGGUUCGGAUGAACCCCCUCGGCAAAGGGUAGAUCCGCCACUGUACACAUGUAUACGUUAAAUAUAUACUACUUUAAGUCUAUAUUCUAUAUAAACACAUAUAUACGUACCAUUCAAUAUAUGUACUACUUUAAAAAAUAUGCUCCAAGAUAUAUACUACAAUAUAAUGAUAUACAUACUAAUUUAUAAAACAUAUAAAUAUGUAUACAUUAAAUAUAUAUUACUUUAAAGUCUAUAGAAGAUAUAUACACAUAUAUACAUACCAUUCAAUAUAUAUGUACUACUUUAAAUAAAAUAUACUACAAUAUAUAUACUACAAUAUAAUGAUAUAUAUACUAAUUUAUAAAACAUAUACACAUGUAUACGUUAAAUACACACUACUUUAGAGUCUAUAAAAGAUAUAUACACAUAUAUACGUGCCAUUCAAUAUAUAUGUACUACUUUAAAUAAAACAUAUACUACUUAAUAUAAUAAAUUAAUAAUACUUGAUAGUAUAUUUAUAAUAUGUUAAAACUAAGUAUUUAAUUUAAACUAGAAAUUCAAUUUAAAUCAUUAAAUGAAAAAAAUUACAAAUUAAGGACUAAGGAGUGAAUGAAUUUUGAAUUUUAUUGAUUGCAAAAUGACCCAAAAUUUAUAAUUUACAUGAAUAAAAAAUCUACAAAUUUUGCAUCAUUUUUUCCAACGGAUUCAUGUUAAUAUUAAUGGCAACUUGCAUAGGAUAGUCAAAGUCAAUGGGGUCAAAAUCAUGCAUUGGACUUGAUUCUGUUGAGUUCUCCCUUGAAGUCAUAAUUUCUUCAAGUUUUUGUUCAUCUUUCGGCUCCUCCUCCAUUCCUUGAUUUCUUCGUUCCGCUCUAAUCCAAUCUUUAAGGCAAACUAGAACAUUCAUAGCAUUGUUUCCCAAUGAGUGUCGGUUGUCUCCAAGUUAUUGUCGUCCCUGACUAAAAGCGCUCUCCAAUGCAACGAUUGAAUUGGAACAUUCAAUAUAUCUCUAGCUAAUCUUGAAAACACAGGAUAUUGUGUUUCAUUAUUCCUCGACCAAUCUAACGCGUUGAUCCGUCGUCUACGAUCCUCUAUCAGUUUUUUAAGAUAAUACUUAAGCUCUUCCCAAUAAGUUGUUGUGUAAGCUCUCACCACAACACUGUUUCAACAAUUUAAAUCAUAAAAGUAAUCAGGAAAAUCACUAUGUGCCAGUCUUUUAGAAGAUAAUGACUCCUCGGGAGGAUGAGGAGCGACAGUUGGAGUGAUAUUUGUUGGUACAGCUAAAUCAAGUAAAUCAGCAUAAUGAUUAUAUAAUUUAUCUAUGUAAGCGUUCGCAUCAGCCAUAGACGUCCACAAAUCUGGUUGUUCUUGCUCUUCAUCAUCAGAAUCAUUGUUAGUAGUUAUCUCUAAGUUAGAAUAAAUAAGAGUACUAAAGUGACACAUAGUAGUAUAUUUCAUAUACGAAUUUAGCACAACACCAACCAAGUAAAUAGGGGAAAUCAGAAAAAAAAUAUUUUUUAGAUUUAGCAAACAUAGCACCAAUAGUUUUUUUGUAACCUUUUUUAUUUGUAUAAUCUUUGAGCAAAUUAGAAAUAUCGGCUAUAUAUGUAAAAAUAUUACAAAUAGUAAGAUAAUAAGCACCGAAAAAUUCAAUCGUAGCUAUAUAAAUUUUUUUUCAAAAACUUAACAAGAUCAUCAAUUACAUUCCAAUCAGAAUCAUGUAGCAUAAAUUCAGUAGAAUCAACAAAUGAACCACAAUGUUGGUUAAAUAUAUGUAAUAGGAACUCUAUAUUUAUGACAAGUUUUUAAAAAAUCAUACGUAGCAUUCCAUCUAGUAUCACAUUCUUCAGGCAUCAAUAUCGGUGUAAGUCCAUUUUGUUCACAUUUAACUUUAAAUUCUUUAAUUCUUUUUCUUCUAUUAUUUCCUUGAAUAAAAUCAACAGCAAGCCGGAAUUUUUCAAUAUAAAGCUCAAAAAACUCAAGACCAUCUCUUAUAAUUAAAUUAUAUAUAUGACAAGCACACUUAACAUGAAAUAUUUCAGGUAACGGCGGAGAUAACUUAGAUUUUAACUUUGUAAUAACAGUCUUAUUGUUAGAAGCAUUAUCAGAAGCAACACAUAAGAUUUUGUUUUCAAUACCAUAAAAUUCUGCAACUUUAACAAUCGAAUCAGUAAUAAAAUCUCCAAUAAGUUUACGAUCUUCAUUAUACAAAAAAGAUAGAAUACGUUUUUGCAUAACAAAAUUACUAUCUAUCCAGUGACAAGUAAUGGUUAAAUAAUCAUUUUUAUUAGCAGCACGACCAAGAUCAACAGUUAGAGUCAUUCUACAUUGAAUAUUUUUUAACAAUGUAGAUAAAUAAAAAUAAUAUUAUGAAUGAAGUCUAAAAAUAUCAGUCCGACAAGUACUUCUAGGAAUACAAUUAAACAUAGGAUUAUAAAUUGCUUGAAUAUAAUGAAUAAAAGCAUCAGAAGAAGGAAAACUGAAAGGUAAACAACCCACAGCUACCAUUUUUGCUAUUUCUUCCCGAUUCCUCAAUUUAUUAUACUUCUUAAUUACCUGACUGGUUCCUAGGUCCAUUCUAGUUUGUGUUGGCCCACCAACAUCCUGACCACCUUUUGCAAUAAGUGAUUAUCACUUAUAUGUUUCAUUAACGUACUCGUACCACCUUACUUGUUCCUCUUUUAUGCUUAUAUAUUUGUUGAUAAAUAUUACAUUGCACCUCAGUAUCUGAUAUACGUAUAAAAAAUUGUCACUCAAUACUAGUUAUUUUAUGAUCUCUUGGGGGACGGGGAGGACGGUGGGGGCGAUUAAUCGAUUCAGAUCUAAUAUGAGCAUUUCCUACUGCGGGUGUCUCACCAAUAUUUUCAUCAUCUUCAUCUAAAUCAACCGCAUCUACUUCAUUUUCUUCUUCUAUACUGCAAUUUUUCUGAGCUUCUACAUAAUCCAUAUCGUGAGCACCUACACCUACUUCUUCCUCAAAAGGUUGACUAAACGGUAUCGAAGGCAGAGGCACACGGGUAUAUCUACUACUUGAAGUACCUCUACCGCUAGUAAUUCAAUUUUUACUACCACCACCACUUCCGGAAUAAAUUUCUUCUUCACUUUUAGUGGCGAGGUUUCUUAAUUUAUCCAUAAUAUAAAUUAAACUAAAAAAAUUCAAAAUACACAAAUAUAAUAAAAUUAAAUAUUCAACAAUUAACGCACUAAUUAAAAAUUAAAAGUAAGAGAUGAAGCGACAAUAUGAAAUUUUGAAAGUAUCCGAAGGUUGCGACUGUAGAAACUUUCACUCGUAUUUUGUAAUCGCAAAAUUUAAAAAUUAAAUUGAGCACUUUAGGAAAUAUAUAGAAUAUUUGAAUUUUGAGAAUUGAGAUUUGAGAGAAUGAAAAUUGUGUGGAAAAUGAUUUAAAAGUGUAGGGUAUUUAUAGAAUUUUUUUUGAGUUUAAAAAAGUAUUUAAUUAUUUUUUUUUAAUUUAAGAUGACCAAUUAGCCGUUUUUGGGGCCCAAACGGUAAUAUAACCAUUGGGCCCAAUGGUCAAAUGGCCCAAACGGUCAAAAACGAUUUUUUCUUUUUAAAAUAAAAUAAAAAUAAAUGGGUCGAUUAAACGACGGGCCUGGACCGAAUUUGGUUCGGAUCGGAUUAAUCAGGCCCCAAAAAACCCAGUCCACGACCUGAAACCCUACAGCCCUUGGGUUGAUCGGGCAGGGUCAUACCAGGCCGAGGCGCUCCAACCCAUUUGACAGGUUUAUCUCUCUCACACACAUAUAAGCGUUUAAAGUGUCCAAAAUAUUACACGAUGAAAUGAAUAACAUCAAUGAAAGGCCAAGGGUGUAGUGAGGAGACAAGGAAAGGUUGCCCAAAUAGAUAUAAAUUGAAAAUAAAUAUGGCGAGUGGCCAUUUAUUAUCCAAUAUGCAAACUUUGGCUAUUUAUUUAGCAAUUGGGUAAACAGUGUCAACUCCCUAUUAGACAUCAUCCCCAAGAUAAUGGAGGAACAUAAUCCACCCUACAUGGCCCAUGAUCUAAAGCCCACGAUCCGUCGUUAGGUUACCUUUUCUUCUUUGCCAUUUGUCCAAAUAAUGACUCUCUACUUUCUUAAAUUUCGUUUAAAUAUUCUUUUAAUCUGUAUUAUAGACGCGGUAAUGACUUGAUUCUAGGCGUGUUAAAUUCAGCUAAGUCCUCGUCAUGAAAUGAGAUUUGAGAAGCUACUGCGAUAACCAUUUGAAUAAUGCUAUCUUUCUAUAAACUUUUUUUAUAUAUAUAGAUUGUAUAUUGUGUAUAUAUAUAUAUAUAAAUAUUAUAUAUAUAUAUAUAUAUAUAUAUAUAUGUGUGUGUGUGUGUGUCUCGAUUAUUUUUAAUUUAAAUAAUUGAAUGGGCUACUAUUUAUAUUAAUUCCUUUUUAAAAAAUUAACUACAUGCAUUUUCAGGCAGGUUAUAUAAUACUAAUAAUAUAAUUUUCUUUAAUGUUUAAAUAACCAUAAUAAAUAAUUAGAGAUAAUAUAGUAAAAUCACGAUUGGAGCCGCGAAGCUAACAUGUAUUAAAAGUGAUAUAGCAUAAUAACUAUAAAAAAAAUACUUGUGAAAAUAAUCUAAGUGAGCCUCAUAUAAGACAUCAAACUAGUUUAAAGUAUCAAGAGUUAAUUUAUUAUUUUAUGUCUAUUUCAUCUUUUUUUAUUAUAUAUUAUUAAUUUUUUAAUACUUAGAUGACUUAUAAUAAUUAAUUAGGGGUGAUAUGGUAAAAUUACGGUUGGAGCAAUUGAAGCAGACAUGUCAAAAAUAUUUAUUUUACUUAUUUGUAUUAAAUAUUAUUAAUUUUCUAAUACGUAAAUAACUUAUAAUAAUUAAUUAAGGGUUAUAAAGUAAAAACACGGUUGUAGCUGCUGAAGCAGGCAACUGAAGCAGGCAUGCCGACCAGCUGCCUGCUUAAGCAUAAAACUUCCUCGCAUGCCGACCUGCUGCCUGCUUAAGCAUAAAACUUUCUCUUAUAUAUAAAUAUUCAAUUUAAGUGGUAUAAUACUUAAUAAUUAAUAAGGGGUGAUAUAAUAAAAUUGUGAUUGAAGCAAUGAAGUAGACAUGUAUUGAAUGAAUUAUAAUAACUAAUUAGAAGUGAUAUAACAAAAUUAAUAUAAGAAAAUACUUUUGAAAAAAUUAAGUGGAUCUCAUAUAAGACAUCAAAUUAAUUUAAUAUUAAAUAUUAUUAAUUUUUUAAAACUUAGAUGACUUUAUAAUAAUUUUUUAAUAUUAAUUUUUAAUAUUUAGAUGACUCAUAAUAAUUAAUUAGGGGUGAUAUAGUAAAAUUAUGUCGAAUCAACAAUAUUAUUAAUUUUUAAUACGUAAAUGACUUAUAAUAAUUAAUUAGAGGUGAUACAUUAAAAUUACGAUUGAAACAGCUUAUUUUUUUUUUCCGAAUAAUAAUAAGUGAAACUUUGAGGAAGUUAGUAGUCAUUUUGAAAACUACCAUUUUAUUAAUAUUAUAAUACUUAAAUGAAAUAAUUUAUAAUAAUUAAUUAGGGUUGAUAUAGUAAAAUUAAGUUUGAAGCAGCUGAAGCAGGUAGGAAGACCCCAAGCUGCUCAACAUUGCCGCUUACCAAAGCAGACACAUGUCAAAAAUGUUUUGUCUUUUUUUUAUUAAAUAUUAUUAAUUUUUAAUACGUAAAUGACUUAUAAUAAUUAAUUAGAGGUGAUACAUUAAAAUUACGAUUGAAGCCGCUAAUUUUUUUUUCCGAAUAAUAAUAAGUGAAACUUUAAGGAACUUAGUAGUCAUUUUGAAAACCAUCCUUUUUUUAAAUAUUAUUAAUAUUAUAAUAUUUAAAUAAAAUAAUUUAUAAUAAUUAAUUAGGGGUAAUAUAGUAAAAUUACGUUUGAAGCGGCUGAAGCAACUAGAUCGAUCCCAAGCUGCUCAACAUUGCCGCUUCUAUUAGAGAGUAAUAAUAUUACAUCUUUAGCCAAGCGAAAUUAUAUAAACAGUUAUUAAUCAUCUUGAGGAAUGAUGAUGAUGAUGAUGAUAGGGAAUUUAGUCUAUAUACCUUUGAUGAUUAAUACUAUUAAUUAAACAAUUUCUUUAAUUAAUGAUUGUAGCAAAAACUUAAACAGCAUUUGAAAAUGUGAUAUAUAAAAAACAAUAUCUUAUAAAAAAAAAAGUUGCUAAAACGGGGAAGAAACUAAUUAACUGAAUAAGGAAAAAUAUCUUAACACACUCAACUAACUUGGUCUUUUUUCUUUAAAAUUUUUUUUGUCAAUAUUCAACUGAUCUAGACCGCUAUCACUAUUUUAUGUAUUAUGGAAAAACUUAUGUAAGUGAUUUUCUUCUUAGAGAACGUAUCACUACUAAACUUUGAACAAUUAAAGAUAUGGCUAACUUGAUUUCCUUCCUUACUUCUUUGCUAAUUAUCCUUGCAAUAUUGACCCUAAAGAUCCAUGCAGUCAAUUACACCGUCACCAACAGGGCCGCAAACACCCCUGGUGGUGUCCGUUCCAAUAUAGCAAGCAAACAAUGGAAGCUGCCACUUCCGCAGGACUUUCCAGCUGUACGUAAAAACGUGCAAAAAGUUAGCAUGUUCGUCGAUGACAUGGAUGGAAUAGCUUGUUCUAGCAACAAUGAGAUUCAUGUUUUAGUGCCAGGUGCGUAUAGAUUGAUUCAAUAAAUAAGUAGUGAAUGCAUAUCGCGAUAUUAAAUAUAUAUAUAUAUAUUAUGCCACUUAUAUACUAAGUAUUUGAUUUAUAUUAAAUUCGUGUUUUGCAGGUACAUUCAAAGUUUCUCUGGUAAUGUCAAGAGAUUUAUCACUGGAGUACUGUACCACGAGAGCACCCAUAUUUGGCAAUGGAACGGGAAUAUAAUGAACGAGCUCCCGGGGGAUUGAUAGAAGGUAUUGCUGAUUAUGUGAGGCUCAAAGCUGGCUAUGCACCUAGCAAUUGGGUGAAACUAGGACAGGGUGACCGAUGGGACCAGGGCUACGAUGUAAUUGCUCGAUUUCUUGACUAUUGUAACAGCUUGAAAAGGAGAGUUGUGGCCCAACUUAACAAGAAAAUGAGAACUGGUUAUAGUGAUCAGUUCUUUGUCGACUUGCUUGAAAAGACUAUUGAUCAACUUUGGAGGGAUUACAAAGCCAAAUUUCGUGCCUAAAUAAAAAAUAUUACUCCAUUUAAUGCCUUUGUACAAAUUCAAGGCUAUAUAUAUCAUGGUCUUGUUGAAUAAUAAUAAGAAAAUAGGAGUAUAUAAUAAGAAUAAGUACAAGGGAUUGACAAGAAGCUAUCUCGCUCAAGUGGCUUUUUCUUUUUGCCUUAGCUAUUUAAUCUUCAAAAUUCACUAACCACACUAAUUUAGAUUCGCAUCAUAUAUAAUUUAUAAAUUAAAGAAAAAAUGCUCCUUUGUAAAAGUUUCUUUGUUUUUAAGUUCGAACUCAAAAAUAUUUGGUAUUUCUAUUUUAAGUAGUACUUACCAUAUUACCAAACGAAAAAUUAUUAAUUAUUAUGAAAGAAUAUUAUAACAUAACAACUAUGUAAGACGUAGAUGAGUCAUUUUUUUUAAAAGUGAUUCCUUAAGGGUCUGUUUAAAAAAUCAACUGCAAAUUAGAUUUGUGUAAUUUGGUGGUGUUAUACAAUUUAACAUGUCUGGGUGGCCAAAUAAUUACUUAGUUAAUAGAUAAUUGGGGGUAAUUGGCAGAAGGUAAUUACACUUUUCAAUUCUCACGAGUGCUGUGAAUUAAUGUUAAUACAUGAUGUAUUACAAGAUUACUUUUUAUUUUCUCCUUUUAUUUUUAUCAAAAGAAAAAUAUAAUUUUUUUCAUGUUUUAUCCUUAACAUUAGCUGCUUAAUUAUUCUUCAAAUAUAUAUAUUUUUAAAAAAUUUUAAAAUUAUUUUUAAAUUUUAAUUUUUUUUAUUUUUUUUUAAUUAUCUUAAUGUAAAAUUGGCCAAAAAUUAACCCUCACUCGCACCCCAGGCGAGUGGCUACACUCUCUUUGUCCUAGUCACAAUUUCAAUGCCACAUAGGCAAGGUCAACGGUCAAAGGAUGCAAAAUGUUGCUUUUUAAUUGGUUCAAGGGUCCAAGUAACAAAUAUCUAAGUAGAAGUGUCCAACUUAUAAAACCAACAUAAUACAAAGGUCCAGAGGGUCAUUUUGCCUUAUUUUUAUUGGUACAUAAUUUAUAGUGCAUCACAUGAGCUAGUUAAUCACAAAUCAUUAUAACAUAACUUUAUUCAUAACAUAGUAGAACAAAAUGCAGAAGACAACACUUGGAUCAUUACACACAUACUUUAUUGUAGUUACUGAAAAACAAACCAUUAAAUCUUGUCAUAUAUAGCUGAGAUAGGUAGGAUAGGAAUAUAUAUAUAGCUGGAACUAUAUAUUCUUGUUCUUAUAGUCUUCUUGAAUAAUAUAGCUGGCAGGCUUAGUCACAAGUGAACUUGAAGAGUGCAGGCAUGGUGCAUUGAUAACGAUCAUAAAAACGAUUCCAUUUAUUACAGCAGAGGCACAAAGUAAAGCCACGUUUACAGUCCAAGUGAGUGUUGCAUCAGUCAGUACAAGCAUUUGAGGGAAAUAGCUUCAUUUUCAGACAAGUUAUAGACCCAGCUGCCCCUAGUACUAAUUUAAUACUUAUAAUGCUAACUCAUUGAUUAAAUGCCAACGUGUUACCAUCAUUUAGGAAUUUAUUUUAUCAAAUUAGUUUAUUAAUCUGUGAAAAUAUAAAUGUGAGUAUACACACUUUAUGUAGCCAUUUAAUGAUAGAGAUAGUAUUAAAAAAAUAUAUAAAAUUUUUAAUUUAGUUGUCCCUUUUAUGAAAUUUAGAGGAUUUUAUUAUGUUAUUUCAAUUAUAUCAUUAUCUUUAAAUGACUAAAUAGAGUAUAUAUAGUCAAAUUUAUAUUUUCAAAAUAUAAUUAAUAAGGCUAAUGUGAUAAAGUAAACAACUAAUAAAUAUUUUUUAAGGGAAGUACCAAGUCAUUAAAGGUCAAUUAUUUUGAAAUAAAAAAAAUAUCUUCUAGUUAAUAUUUUUUUUAAACGGUGUGCAACUUAAAAAAUGAAAACUAAAUAACAGAGGGAGUACUAUUAUUUCAUAAAUUAUUACCGUUUUAUUUUUUUGUUAAAGAAAAAAUUCUUUUGGCCACAAUAAAUGAGUUGGCAUCUAGUUUUUAAUGAAUUCCAAUAAGUGCUGACAUAAAGUAGUACUGUUUGUUUAUUCGGAAGGGAUGUGUUAUCAAAGUGGUGUCAGUGUUCGAACUCCCAAAAAAUAAUUAAGCAACACUAAUGAGAGGUCGACAAAUUUUAACAACUAAUGAAAAGAAAGCCAUUUUGCACAUAUCAUACUCGCUCCGUCCCAAAUUACGCGUCCCAAACUUUUCAAUUUUAUUUUUUAUUUUAUUUAUCUUUUUUUAUUAAUUAAGAAGAGACAAAUUCUUUUUUUCAUGUUAUAUCCUUUGCAUUAAUUAUUUUUUCUUCAAAUUAAAAUAUAAACAUCAUUUAAUAGGUGCACUAUAGUAAACUAAUCAUGUUAUUAAUUAUUUUUCUUAAUUAAUGUAUCAUCUCAAUUUGAGAUAGGUAAUUUGAGACGAAGGGGGUAAUUAACAAAAGUACUUAACAAUUUCAGGACAAAUUAAAACUAGCCAACUAUGUCCUCUGUCAGAAUAACAAAAGUAUUAGGCUGAAAUAUAAAUAUAAGCAACUAAUAAAGCUGUAACAUGUGUCACUGCAUAGGGGUGGGCGUUCGGUCGGUUCGAUCUGAUUGUUUAAUAUUGGUUCGAUUUAUCGAUUUUCGGAUUGACAAAAACGACAUCCAUAACCAAACCGAAAUAAAUUCGGUUUGGUUUGGUUUUUACAAAUUCGGUUCGGUUAUUUCGGAUUUUUAUUUCGGUUUGAAAUAUUAAAGUAGUUGCCUCUCUUUUUCAUAACUGAGCAUUUAAAAUUGAUGAAUUUUUUUAAAAAAGUUAUUUUUUUCAAACUUAUUUUUCAUUCCCAAGUAUAAAUAAUUAUAAAUAACUCAACAUGGAUGAAACGAAUUGAAAUAAUCAUAAGCUUAACAUAAUGCAUAACGUCAUUAAUCAUUACAUAUAAUAUAACCUUGCAUAAAUAGUUUACAAAAUAACACAAAACACGUAAAAAUAGUCCAUAAAACAACAUACUUUCUACAUAAAUAGUCCAUAAAACAGUCCAAAGUUACCAAAAUAGUCCAUAAAAUAUUUGAAUCACUACAAACAAUCCAUAAACAGUCUGCGGCAUAUGCGAAUUUGCUGUUAAAUGUUAAUUGUGAAUGUGAAUUACUAAAUAUUAUAUAUAUAUUUCUUGUGACUUAAUAUGCUUCCCCUGUUCGAAUGGAGCUGAAUCUUGUUAUCCUUGAAAGAAUCCAAUCCCCUUAUAUGGUCAUUCAGUCACUCCAUCAUCAUCAACUAAAAUCAAGAAGUAAACUUUCUAACAUGGGUACAAGUGAGGGUACCCAAUCAAGGGUGCCUCAAGGGUAAGGCUAAUAAAGCGUUGGCUUUAGGCCCCAAAAUUUUGAAGCGUCAAAAAAAUUUAAUUGUAAAUUUCAUGAUUUCAGUUUCAUUUGAAAUAAUAAUGAAGAUUGUGAAAUACUUUAAAAAAAUUUUCCUAAAAAAAUACAAAAAGAAAGAAAUAUCUAAUUUUUACUAGAAAUAUUUUAGAACUUCGAAUUAAAUAACUUAAAUUUUAUAUUAAUAAUUAAUAUUUUAAUAAUAAUAUCUAAGUUAAUGUAUUGCAAACAAAUGACUAAUAUCUUAUUAACCAGAAUGAAUCUUUGUUUAAUUAAAAGUUAUAGUAUAUGUUAAGUUAAAGGUUAUGUGUAUAAAAUAUUACAUAAAAAAUAAUUAAUAUAUAACAACAAAAAAAUCACUCUGAAUUAUUAUAAUAUUAUUUUUGUAUGUAUAUUUAUAUAUAUUAGACCAUUUGUUUAAGUUUGAUUUUAGACCAUCAAUUUUAUUGAGACCGUCCUGACCUAAACAUUUAUCUUUUGAAUCAAAAAUUUCAAAUAGAUCAUUAAAUUUUGAAUAUAACUAAAACGAAUAAAUAGUUCAUGUAUUAAUCAUUUGCUCCAACUUUUAAUGAGUGGACCACUUUUUUAAGUAAAUAAUUUUUAAAUCGUUCAUAUUUGAAUGAUGUGAUUUUUCUUUCUCUUUUUCUUUUAACCAAACUUUUUUCCUAAAACGAGAUGUUAUCUCAGGGAUAUAAAAACAUGCUAUAAUAAUGCAGGUUUGAUUUUGUCUUUAACUUUAAUCUUGUAUCUUAAAUAUGUUAUGCAAAGAACAAAAAUUAAAGAGUUAUCAAAAAAUAAAAAUUAUAUUUAUUGAAAUCUGUUAAAAAGAUAGAUAAGACAAAGAAAUUUAAACGAAGGAAGUAUACGCUAAAAAAAAAUAUGCAUAACACACAUAGCAGAAACUAGUAGGGAAUAAUUUGGUGACGUGGCACAGUUUUCAAGAGUCAAAUAGUUUAACUUGAUAGUAAUUUUUGGCAUGCAAUAUUUAAUUUUUUAAAAAUAAAAUUGAUAUAUUUGAAAAUUAUAUAUAAAGUUCUAUAAUUCAAAAUGAUUGGACAACUUAAAAUGUUUAAAAAGUAUACGACAAACAUUAUGAUCAAUCAAAGAAAAAAUUGUUUGAAUCAUGAAAUCCAUGAAAUGUCACAUAAAUUGAACGGAAGGAAUUUAUAUUUAAAAAUUAUAAACCUAAUUAAAUUACUCAAAAUUUAAUCAACUUGAAUUAUGGGUGUCAAACGGGCUGGGUCGGGCUAACUCGGAACCGGCCCUUCCAUUUUAACCGAGUUGAGGGCCGGUUUUGGCUCUAGACGGGCAGAACCCAACAGUAAAAAAAAUUAAAAUCCACCCUAACCCGGUCCACUUAACUCAACCCGGUCAAACCCACCAAAACCCGAUCAAACCCGAUUAAAAAUCGGUCAAACCCGUUUAAAAAAAAAAAUCAAAUAUACACUAUAUACACUACAAUUAUAUACACUAUAUACACUCCAAUAUACACUAUAUACACUCCAAUAUACAAUAUAUAUUUUAAAAAAAAAAUAUAAACAAUUACACAUAUAUACGUACCAUUCAAUAUAUAAUUAUAUAUUACUAUACGUACUACUUUAAAUAAAACAUAUACUAUAAUAGUAUAUAUAUAUACACUACAACAUAUAUAUAUAUAUAUAUAUACAUAUAUAUAUAUUUAUAUAUUAAUUUAUAAAACAUAUACACACUUAUACGUGAAAUAUAUACCCAUAUAGAAGAUAUAUACACAUAUAUACGCACCAUUCAAUAUAUAUGUACUGAUUUAAAUAAAAUAUAUUCUACAAUAUACAGCUAUAUAUACAACAAUAUGUAUAUAUAUANNNNNNNNNNNNNNNNNNNNNNNNNNNNNNNNNNNNNNNNNNNNNNNNNNNNNNNNNNNNNNNNNNNNNNNNNNNNNNNNNNNNNNNNNNNNNNNNNNNNNNNNNNNNNNNNNNNNNNNNNNNNNNNNNNNNNNNNNNNNNNNNNNNNNNNNNNNNNNNNNNNNNNNNNNNNNNNNNNNNNNNNNNNNNNNNNNNNNNNNNNNNNNNNNNNNNNNNNNNNNNNNNNNNNNNNNNNNNNNNNNNNNNNNNNNNNNNNNNNNNNNNNNNNNNNNNNNNNNNNNNNNNNNNNNNNNNNNNNNNNNNNNNNNNNNNNNNNNNNNNNNNNNNNNNNNNNNNNNNNNNNNNNNNNNNNNNNNNNNNNNNNNNNNNNNNNNNNNNNNNNNNNNNNNNNNNNNNNNNNNNNNNNNNNNNNNNNNNNNNNNNNNNNNNNNNNNNNNNNNNNNNNNNNNNNNNNNNNNNNNNNNNNNNNNNNNNNNNNNNNNNNNNNNNNNNNNNNNNNNNNNNNNNNNNNNNNNNNNNNNNNNNNNNNNNNNNNNNNNNNNNNNNNNNNNNNNNNNNNNNNNNNNNNNNNNNNNNNNNNNNNNNNNNNNNNNNNNNNNNNNNNNNNNNNNNNNNNNNNNNNNNNNNNNNNNNNNNNNNNNNNNNNNNNNNNNNNNNNNNNNNNNNNNNNNNNNNNNNNNNNNNNNNNNNNNNNNNNNNNNNNNNNNNNNNNNNNNNNNNNNNNNNNNNNNNNNNNNNNNNNNNNNNNNNNNNNNNNNNNNNNNNNNNNNNNNNNNNNNNNNNNNNNNNNNNNNNNNNNNNNNNNNNNNNNNNNNNNNNNNNNNNNNNNNNNNNNNNNNNNNNNNNNNNNNNNNNNNNNNNNNNNNNNNNNNNNNNNNNNNNNNNNNNNNNNNNNNNNNNNNNNNNNNNNNNNNNNNNNNNNNNNNNNNNNNNNNNNNNNNNNNNNNNNNNNNNNNNNNNNNNNNNNNNNNNNNNNNNNNNNNNNNNNNNNNNNNNNNNNNNNNNNNNNNNNNNNNNNNNNNNNNNNNNNNNNNNNNNNNNNNNNNNNNNNNNNNNNNNNNNNNNNNNNNNNNNNNNNNNNNNNNNNNNNNNNNNNNNNNNNNNNNNNNNNNNNNNNNNNNNNNNNNNAUAUAUAGUUAUAUACUAAUUUAUAAAACAUAUACACUUGUAUACGUUAAAUAUAAACGUCUAUAAAAGAUAUAUACACAUAUAUACGCAUCAUUCAAUAUGUAUGUACUACUUUAAAUAAAAUAUAUACUACGAUAUACAUAUAUAUGUAUUACAAUGUAUAGAUGUUUAUACUAUACUAAUUUAUAAAAUAUUUACACUUAUAUACGUUGAAUAUAUAUAUCUAUAUAAGAUAUAUACACAUAUAUACGCACCAAUCAAUGUAUAUGUACUACUUAAAAUAAAAUAUAUACUACAAUAUACAUAUAUAUAUAUAUACUACAAUAUGUAUAUAUAUAUAUAUAGUUAUAUACUAAAUUGUAAAACAUAUACACUUGUAUAUGUUAAAUACAUACGUCUAUAGAAGAUAUAUACACAUAUAUACGCUUCUAUAGAGAUAUCCAAUUUAUAAAACAUAUACACAUGUAUACGUUAAAUAUACACUCCUAUAGAAGCUAUAUAUACGUGGAUACUCACCAUUCAAUGUAUAUAUACUACUACUUAUAAAAUACACUACAUUAUAUAUACAUUACAAUACAUAUAGAUAUACUUAUAUACUAAUUUAUAAAACAUAUACACAUGUAUACGNNNNNNNNNNNNNNNNNNNNNNNNNNNNNNNNNNNNNNNNNNNNNNNNNNNNNNNNNNNNNNNNNNNNNNNNNNNNNNNNNNNNNNNNNNNNNNNNNNNNNNNNNNNNNNNNNNNNNNNNNNNNNNNNNNNNNNNNNNNNNNNNNNNNNNNNNNNNNNNNNNNNNNNNNNNNNNNNNNNNNNNNNNNNNNNNNNNNNNNNNNNNNNNNNNNNNNNNNNNNNNNNNNNNNNNNNNNNNNNNNNNNNNNNNNNNNNNNNNNNNNNNNNNNNNNNNNNNNNNNNNNNNNNNNNNNNNNNNNNNNNNNNNNNNNNNNNNNNNNNNNNNNNNNNNNNNNNNNNNNNNNNNNNNNNNNNNNNNNNNNNNNNNNNNNNNNNNNNNNNNNNNNNNNNNNNNNNNNNNNNNNNCAGCUCGUCGCUCGGCUUCGGUUCCAUUCCUUGGUUUCUUCUUUCCGCUCUAAUCCAAUCUCUGAGGCAAACUAGAACAUUCAUUGGAUUGCUUCCCAAUGAGUGUCGGUUGUCUCCAAGCUGCUGUCGUCCCUGACUAAAGGCGCUCUCUGAUGCAACGGUUGACAUUGGAACAUUCAAGAUAUCUCUAGCUAAUCUUGAAAGCACAGGAUAUUGUGUUUCAUUACUCCUCCACCAAUCCAGCGUGUUGAUCCUUCGUCUGCGAUCCUCUGGUGCCGUCUGAAGAUAAUAUUUCAGCUAUUCCCGAUAAGUUGAUGUGUAAGUUCUCUCAUCAACAUUGUUCCAAUAAUUUAAAUCAUAAAAUGAAUCAGAAAAAAUACUAUGUGCCGGCCUUUUAGAAGAUGAUGGCUCCUCGGGAGGAUGAGGAGCGACAGUUAGACUGAUAUUUGUAAGUACGGCUAAAUCAAAUAAAUCAGCAUAGUGAUUAUAUAAAUUUUUCUAUGUAAUCCUUUGCAUCAGCAGUAGCCAUCCACAAAUCAGGUUGUAUUUGUUCAGAAUCAUGGUUAGUAUUUAUUUCUAAGUUAAAUAAGAGUACUAAAGUGACACAUAUUAUUAUAUUUCAUGCACGGAUUUACCAUAGCACCAACCAAGUAAAUAGGGGGAAUCGGGAAAAAUAUCUUUAAAAUUUCGUAAAUAUGGUGCCAACAGCUUCUUUAUAACUUUCUUUAUUUUUAUAUUUUUUGAGCAAACCAGAAAUAUCGGCUAUAUAUGCCAAAAUAUUACAAACAGUAGGAUAAUAAGCAUCGGAAAAUUCAACCGUAGCUACAUAAAAUUUUUCUAAAAACUUAACAAGAUCAUUAAUUACAACCCAAUCAGAAUUAUGUAGCAUGCAAUCAGCAGAAUCAGCAAAUGAACCGCAAUGUUGGUUAAAAGCUAGUGUAAUAGGAAUUCUAUAUUUAUAACAAGUUUUUAAAAAUUAAUACGUAGAAUUCCAUCUAGUACCAAUUUCCUCAGGCAUCAAAAUCGGUGUAAGUCCAUUUUCUUAACAUUUAACUUUACAUUCUCUAAUUCUCGAUCUACGAUUAUUUCCUUGAAUAAAACCAACGGCAAGACGAAUUUUUUCAAUAUAAAACUCAAAAAACUCAAGACCAUCUUUUACAAUUAAAUUAUAUAUAUGACAUGCACACUUAAUAUGAAAAAUUUCAGGCAAGGGCGGAGAUAGCGUAGAUUUUAUUUUUGUUAUAGCAGUCUUGUUGUUAGAAGCAUUAUCAAAAGCAAUACAUAAAAUUUUAUUUCCGAUACCAUAAUAUCUUUUAACAAUAGAAUCAGCAAUAAAUUGUCCAGUAUGUUUACAAUCUUCAUCAUAUAAAAAAGCAAGAAUACGUUUUUGCAUCACGAAAUUACUAUCCAUCCAAUGACAAGUAAUGGUUAAAUAAUCAUUUUUAUUUACAGCACGACCAAGAUUAGAAGUUAGGGACAAUCUACAUUGAAUAUUUUUUAACGAUGUUGAUAAAUAAAAACAAUAUUGUGAAUGAAGUCUAAAAAUAUCAGAUCGAAAAGUAAUUCUAGGAAUACCGUUAAACAUCGAAUUAUAAAUUGCUUGUAUAUAACGAAUAAAGACAUCAAAAGAAGGAAAUUAAAAGGCAAACAACCCACAGCUACCAUUUUAGCUAUUUCUUUCCGGUCCCUCAAUUUAUUAUAUUUCUUCGCUACGUGACCGGUUGCUGGGUCCAUUCUAGUUUACGUUGGCCCACCAACAUCCCCACCACCUUGUGCAAUAUUUAACUCUCUUUUGUGAUCUUUAGUUAUAUGUUUCAUUAACGUACCCGUACCCCCUUGCUUGCCUCUACUUCUAUGUUUAUAUAUUUGUUGACAAAUAUUGUAUUGCACCUCAAUAUCUAAUAUACGUUCAAAAAAUUGCCAUACAACACUAGUUCUUUUAUGAGGUCUUGGGGCACUGGGAGGACGGGGAGGGAGAUUAACCGAUUCAGAUCUAACGUUAGCAUCUCCUACUGCAGGUGUCUCAGUAAUAUUUUCAUUAUCUUCGUCUAAAUUAACCGCAUCUACUUCAUUUUCUUCUUCUAUACCGUAAUUUUUCUGAGCUUCUACAUAAUCCAUAUCGUGAGCACCUACACCUAUUUCUUCCUCAAAAGGUGUACCAAGCGGUACCGGAGGCGAAGGCACACNNNNNNNNNNNNNNNNNNNNNNNNNNNNNNNNNNNNNNNNNNNNNNNNNNNNNNNNNNNNNNNNNNNNNNNNNNNNNNNNNCAUAAUAUAAAUUAAAUUAAACUAAAAAUAUUCAAAAUACACAAAUAUAAUAAAAUUAAAUAUUAAACAAUUAAUACAAUAAAGAAAAAUUAAACAUAAGAGAUGGAACGACAAUACCAAAUUUUGAAAGUAUCCGAAGGUUGCGACUUUAGAAACUUCCGCUCGUACUUUUUAAACGAAUAAUUAAAAAAUUAAAGUGAUCACUUUAAGAAAUUAAAUAUAUUGAAUAUUUGAGAAUUUAGAUUUGAAAGAGAAUGAGAUUUGAGAGAGAGAAAAAUUGUGUGAAAAAUGAUUUAAAAUUGUAGGGUAUUUAUAAAAAAUUUUUUGGGAUUAAAAAAUAUUUUUUAAAGUUAAUUUUUUUUUUAAUAAAUGGGCCUAAACUAGCCGUUGGCCCAACGGCUAUAUAGCCGUUUUGGCCCACAAUCCCAUUUUUCUUUUCUUUUUAAAAAGGUAUUCGGGCUGGGCCGGUUAACCGACGGGCUGGAUUAGCCGGGCCCAUUUUAAAAAAUAACCGGCCCAGGACCCAGAAUCCUAAAGCCCUAGGGCUUACCGGGCCAGAUCAAACCGGGUCGGGUUAAUUACGAGGGCCGGGUCGGACCAGCCCAGUUGACACCCUUUAACUUGAAUUUGUGAGGACUUAAACCGAGGGGUUUCGAUAGAUAUAAAACUAGAAUUUGAAGUUUGUUGUAGCAUGGUCUUGAUUCCAUGAGAUGACACCUUGUUUGCAUUUGAACAAGUUUCAAAAAAAUUUUAAAAACACCAGACGCAUCAUUCAAGCGUGAAAUUCACAAAAAUAUUUAACAUAAAAAUACUUUUUCGCAGGAACAAUUUUGUCCGUUUUGAUAUCUGUGGAAUCAAGUGGCUUUUUUGAAAUUUUUGUUUAGUCACAAACCAUGAUGAGACGACUUUAUUCAUUUUUAAUUUCUUCAUUAUAUACAAAGAUAGAACAGAACACGCACACGACAACAUACACUUGGAUCAUAACAUACUUGACUACAAACAUAGAAAAAAACACAAACACCACAAUCACACUUGGACCAUAUUACUUUUAAUUUGUAGUUGUACUAAUAACCAAAGCAUUAAAUUCUGAGAUAAAUAGGUACUCGACAUAAUUAGGAUGCUUAGAAGUGGAUCUGUCUCCAUAUAUAUUCUUCUUUGAUAUAUAUAUCUGGCUGGCUAGCAACCAAUGCAAAGAACAUCAUUUUAGCGGGUUCACAUCUGUCGACUUUGUAAGUUUUACCCCCGCUCCAGUAAUAGUCAUCUCGACAGCACGGCACGGAAAGUAACAGCCAUCCGCACAACGACGAUAACCACAAGCUCCAAGAGUAUUAGGGAAAAGCUUCAUUUGCAGCACUGAUACUUCUGCUGGCAAGUCGCGAAGGGCCGCUAUCACUGCAUUUAGGUUAUCACGAGCAAUAUAUGUAGAAUUUUAAUUCCAUUUUUCAGUCAUUUACUGUCAGCUAUACAAAUUUGAUACAGGUCUUAUAGAGAUAUGUACUCAUCACUGUUUCCUCCGUCAUGAAUAACAAAAGUACAAGCUUAAAAGUAUAUAUAAGCAACUAAUAAAGCAGUAACAUGUGUCCCUGCACGCAGGUGUUCUUUUCAUAUAUACGUUUUUUUAUCCUCUCCACAAACCCAACUAUUAUGGAAUUUUUGAAUUCGAAUUGCCUCACUCCCAAUGAUUUUUAACCACUUAAGGUUGAGAUAAUAUAAAGAACUUCGGUCCAUUUUAAGAGCAUGUUUAUUAAGGCUUGUUUGGAUUUCGGUAGAGGAUAAUAAAAUAAGCUAUAAAAAACACAUGCAUUCGAUGACACAUGUUACUGCUUUAUUACUUGUUCUAUAUAUUUAUACUCGACUAACACUUUUGCUAUUCAAACGUAUUCGUGACAGGAAAUAGUUGGCGAGUUUUAAUUUGUCCUGAAAUUGUUAAAUGCGUACGUGAUUUACUUGUGAGCCCGAGACACAUUUUAAUAUAAAAAUUUCAUAUGGAUUAUUCAAUUUUGAAAAUAAUCAAAACGGACAAACAUUUAUUUGUCAGCAAAUUCCUCUAAUUUUUAAUCAGUGGACUUCUUUUUUUUUUUAAAAAAAAAAAAAAUCUUAAAUAGUUCAUAUUUGAACAAUUUGCUUCUUUUUUUCUUUUUACUUUUAGAUAACUUUUUUCUCGAAACUCAUUCAAAGAAAACGAUAUGUCAUCUCAUGGAUAGAAAACCAUGUUAUAACAUAGAGGUUUGAUUUUGUCUUUGUCUUUUAUUGUAUGUUAAAUAUGUUACCUAGAGAAUAAAAAUUAAAGAGUUAUCAAAGAAUAAAGAAUAAAAAGACAUUUUUAUUUAAACGUGCUUAAAAGAUGAAGAAAUUGAAGCGAAAGUAUAUUUUAGAUAGACGUAAAAAAAAACAUGCACAACACACGUAGCCGAAACCACGGUAUGAUUUGGUGAUUCAUUGACAACUCUAAAUGAAUAUAAAUAACAAAGAAAAAGGUAUACAUGUGUCACAAUUCAAAUUUCGAGAGUCAAACAUUUAACUCAAUCGUAAUGUUGGGCAUGAAAUAUUAAUUUUUUUAAAAUAAAAUUUGUAUAUUUGAAAAUUACGUAAAAGAUCUAUAAGUCAAAAUGAUUGAGUAAUACAAAUGUUUAAAAUACAUACAACAAAUAUUAGGAUCAAAGAAAGACAGUUGUUUGAAUCAAGAAAUUCAUAAAAUGUCAUAUAAAUUAGACGGGGAAUAUAUAUUUAAGAACCGUAAAUGAAUUUGUACGGACUUAAACUGAGAGGCUUCAAUGGAUCAUGUGAAACUUGAAUUUGAAGUUUGUUGUAGCUAGCAUGGUCCGAAUUCAUGAGAAGGCAUCUCGUUUGUAUUUGAACAAGUUUCAAUUUUUUUUUUUAAAAAAAUAGGCGCAUCAUUCAAGUGUGAGCCAUCUACAAAAAAGUUUAACACAAAAGGGUUCACUCUGCAGGAAAUCGUUGUAGCAAGAACGAUUUAUCGGUUUUGAUUAUCUCUAGAAUCAUCAAGUCGUCUUUUUGAAAUUUUUGUUUAAUCACAAACCAUGAGGAGACGACUUUAUUCAUAUUUAAUUUCUUCAUUACAAAGAUAGAACUAAACACGCUCAUCAGGACAACACUUGGAUCAUUACAUACUUGACUGACUACAAUCAUAUAGAACAAAACACAAACGUACAUGCACGACAACCACGCUUGGACCAUAGCGGCCCAUAUUUAACUUUUUAUUUGUAGUUCUACUAAUUAAUAACCAAAGCAUGAAAUUCUGAGAUAGAUAGGUAGAUAAGUAGGUAGGUAUGUAGGCCUCCCUAUAAUCUUCUUCUGGCUUAAUCACAACUGCCGAACACAAACAUUGAACGCGGUUCACAUCUGUCGGUUUUGUAAGUUUUACCCCCGCUCCAGUAAUAGUAAUCCUUACAGCACGGGCAGGGCCAGGAACAGCCAUCCGCGCAAGGAUAACCACAAGCUCCAAGAGUAUUAGGGAAAAGCUUCAUUUUCAGCACUGAUACUUCUGCUGGCAACUCCCGAAGGGCGGCUAUCACUGCAUUUAGGUUAUCAGGGAGCAAUAUAAUUAACAAGAAUAACAUCAAAACAGUUGUGUGUGUGUGUAACACACAAUUCAUAUAAAUAAAACUAGAUAUAUAUGCACGCACCGUUAGUCGUGGCGAAGAGCACAAUAAAGAAGAUAGCAAACUUGAUAACUGAAUGUUGGGAACCCAUUUGAUGAUGAUGAUAAUCAACAGCUAGCACAAGUGUAUAUGUCUGUAUGUUUAUGCUGAUUUCUUUCUUUUGACAAAGAUCAUAUAUAUAUAUAUAUAUAUAUAUAUAAGCCCAGGGAAGUCCCAUUCCUUAAGAGUACCCCUACUAUUUGUUACUAUAUGCUCGCUCCAUUUCUAAAUAGUUGUCCUUUAUUGAUUUCACACUUUCUUUAAAAAAAAAUAUUUAUGAGUUUAUCUUAUCAUAUUGGCUUUAUUAAUUAUGCUGUGAAAAUAUAAAGGGUGAAAAUCAUUUUCCCCUAUCAACUUUACUUUAAAAAUUAAACUCCGCCCUCAACUUUAAACAAUAAGUAUUCUCCCCUUAUUUUUGCUAUUUGUCUUUUUUAAAUACCUAUUUUAUCCUUACACUAGUAAUCUUUCUUUUUCUUUACCACUUUGAAAUUACUAUAUUUUUUAUUUUUAAUAUAUAUAGUAAAUUUUUAUAAAUAAAAAGAAUUAUUUUCUAGGCAAAAAAAUAAGUGAGAAACAUAUAAUAAGAAUAUAAGUUAGUGAUAUUUUAAAUGAAAUAAAUGACCAUGAUAUGGAAAUUUAUUUAUUAAUAAUAAUUAAAACUGUAAUAUUUAUUUAUACUAGUGAAAAUAACAAAUAAAAAUAAUUAUAUAAACAUAUUCCAAUGCAUGUAAUAUAAUAACAUAUAACAAAAAUGAAGAUACAUUUUCUACUAAAUUAAUUCAAAAGUUUACUUAUGUUAUAAAUAUGUACUCCCUCGUUCACUUUUACUUGUCACUAUUUUGCUUUUUGAGGUUAACCUGCAUGAACUUUGACUAACAUUUUAAGAUGUAUAAUUUAAUAUUUAAAUUUAAAAUUUAGAUGAUCAGAAAAUAUAUUAAAAAUUCUAUAGGUUGCAAUCCUUCUUCAUAUUAAUAAAAGAAAAAAUUACAGAAAAUAGCAUACUUAAAACUAGAAUUACGAUAAAUAACAACACUUUUGUAAAAUUACAGUUUAUAGCAAGAGUAGCAUUAUUUUACUCAUUAACUAGGCAAGUGCAUGUUUUACUCUCACUACUUUACAUUUUUCUAUUUACUCCACUAUUUCACCUCCUCCAAAUAUAGCCAUAUCUUUUACCCCUUUUUUUCAUCUUAUUUUUUUAUCAUUUAUUUUUAUUUUUAUUUUUAUUUUUAUUUUUUUAUUUUUCAAUUUAUUUUCUCUCUUCUAUUUCUCUUCCUUUUUUUCCUUUUUGGUUGUUUUUUUAAUUUUUUAAUUUUUUAAUUUUUUUUCUUUUUUUUUCUUUUUUCAUAUUUGAAGAUAAUUAUCUCCAUGAUCUUCAAGAUUUCAAAAUAAAACAUCAUUACUGUCUUUCACUCUCGAAUAUCUCUACCUUUUUUUCUUGUUAGUUUUUUUCAUCUUAUUUUUUAUCAUUUUAUUUUGAUUUCUUUUUCUUUCUCAUGUUUUUCUUUCCACUAUAUUUUCUCUCUUCUAUUUCUUUUUUUUUUUCCCUUUUCCCCCUUUUUCCUUUCUCAUAUCUUUUUUUUUUCUAUUUUCAUUUUCUUCUUCUUUUUUCUAUUUUGUUUUGUUUCUUUUUUUCUUUUAUUUUUACACUUCUAUUUCUUUUUCUUCCUUUUUUUUUUCUUUUUCACUUCACUGUUUUUCGUUUUUUUCUUUUUAUAUUUUUCUUUUUUUUCAUUUUUUUACUCUUCUAUCUCUAACUUUUAUUUUGAAAAGAUAAAUAUGUAUAUCACAUACACAUAUUCAAAAAACAUACAUAUGUAUUUACGCAAUACAUAUCAUAUUCAUAUUAAACAGUAACAAGCAUAACUAUACUAUAUAUCUUCAUAUGUAUUUGCGAAAUACAAAGGUGACUCAUAUAAAAUAAGAAUAUACCUAUGGAUCAGGUAUGUUUUCUGUAAAUGCAUAUGCAGAGUUAUAUGUAUUUUAUACGGUGUUGGAUUUGUCUUUGAACUGUACAUACUAUGUCAUUUUAGAGGGUGACAUAUGUACUUAUUUAUUUUCUUUUACUGUUUAAGAUAUGUAUCAUGUUUUUUUUAUUACCUAUAUGUAUAUGUAUAAAUUAUCAUUUUUGUUAUAGAGAUUUUGUGUCCUAUAUGUUUUUAUAUACAUGUGAGUCAGAUAUGUAUUUCUGUAAAUACAUAUACAGAUAUAUAUGUAUGUUUUUUAUCGUAAAUACAUAUGCAGAUCUAUAUGUCUAUUUAUUUUAUAUAUUUUUUGAAUGUGUAUUAUAUGAUAUAAAUAUUUGUCUUUUAAAAAUAAAGGAUAGAAUAGAAGAGUACCUAAUAAUAAUUUAUUAAAAAUUUAAUUUAUCAAAUUAGUAUUAUUAAUCUGUGAAAAUAUAUAUAUGUGAAUAUACACACUUUCUAUAGUUAUUUAAUCAGUUUAAUUUAUUAAAUUAGUCUUAUCAAUCUAUGUAUUUUUUGGACUUGACGGGCGCUGUUCCUAUUUUUUCGUUAAUAUACAUCAUGGUGUAGAUACACUGAUUUUUCACACAAAAAAAUGUAUACUCCCUCUUAUUAGGCUGAAGAAUGUUCUUACUUUCGUUUUUAAAUGUUCUUACUUUCGUUUUUUCCUUUUUAUAUUUUGUCAAAGUAAAUGAUCAGUUGCCUCAAGUUUUUAAUUCCAUUUUAUUUUUACUAUACAAAUUAUAGUAACUGAUAGACAUUAUUUAUAUACAAUUUUUUUUAUAUUUAUUCAUUCUUAAAAUUAUUAUGUGUAUGCAUGAUACUAAUAAUAAUUAUUAUCAAUAUUUUAUUUUUAUAUAUAAGUAUUCCCUCCAUCUCAAAUUAUUUAACAUGUUUGUUAGAAAAAUUAUCUCAAAAUAGUUGAUAUAUUUAAGAAUUCAAGAGAUAAUUUAUCAUUUUUUUCAGUUAUACCCAUAUUAAUGGAAGAAGAUUUAUCUAAUCAAGAUUAAAUUAUGCCAUAUUAGUCAAUUUGCACCACGUAUAUUAAUUUCUCGUUAAGAAUUGUGCAAAAAAUAAACAUGCUAAAUACUUUGAGACGGAAGGAGUGUAAUUUAAUACUUUCUCCAUUCAUAUUAUUAGUUAGUCAUUUUUCUUUUCCGUUAAUAUUAGUUAGUCAUCUUCAAAAAUUAUGAAUAAGAAGGUAAUAUACUAAUUUUACUAAUCAACGAGGAAACAUGCACUAAUUGUCUCAGCGUUCAAACAUAUCUCAGGUACAUUCGAUUCCAACUCCCUAAAAGUAGUUAACAUUAAUUAACGCGAUGACAAACCUCGUCAACUAAUGAAGAAAGCUACUCCCUUUAUUUUUAAACCAGAUAUAUAUCGAAAGGUCGUGCUAGCACAAGUUCAAUAUAUAUUAUUUUUUAUUUCGAUUAUGUGAUAUAAAUAAAAUUUAGAUAAUUAGUUAUAUUUUUAAUGUGUUUUUAAAUAUUUUAAGUUGUUAGUUAUUGUAAUUUAUCAUACUUUUAAAAAAUUAUAAUUUACUAUUUUAAGUCGUUAGUUAUGGUAACUUAUAGCAUUCUCCUUGUUCAAACUUUAUGACAUUGAUAGUCAAUUACUUUUUAAAAAUAAUUAAAAAUUUUAAUUAUUGUGAUUUAUAAUGCUUUCUUCUAUUCCAAUUUAAGUAACUAUAUAAUUUCGGGAAUCAAUCAAAUAUCACAAUUGAAGUAGUGAAACAUACUUGUGAAAAGAAAAAAUCAAAUGGGCUUAUCAAGUUAAUUUAAUACAUCAAAGAGUUAAGUUAUCAUUAUAUGUUUAUUUUACCUUUUAAUUAAAUAAUUUUUUUUAAUAUUUAGAUAACUUAUAAUAAUUAAUUAAGGGUGAUAUAGUAAGUUAUAAUUGAAGCAGUUGAAACAGAUAUGUCAUAAAUAUCUAUUUUACUUUUAUUUAUUAAGCAUUAUUAAUUUUCUAAUACGUAAGAGUUAACCAAAUAUCACGAUUGAAGUAGCGAAACAGAUAUGUCUUCAAUGACUCAUAACAACUAAUUAGAAGUGAUACAACAAAGUUGCUAUAAAAAUACUUGUGAAAAAAGUUUUAGUGGACCUCAUAUAAGAUGUCAAGUUAAUAUUCCCUCCAUUUCGGAAUAAAUGAAUUAUUGGGGUAUUUAUUGGUGUUUCAAAAUAAGUGAAUCGUUAAUUUUUUUUUUCCAAAAUUACUCUUAUGAUUUGACAAGCAAAAGAGACUGCAAUUUUUUUUUCGGGUAAAAGAGAAUUCAAGGAUAAAAAUAAAAAUUAAUGUCUUUGAUGCUUUUUUCUUAAUUUGUGUGUCAAAAUUCAAUAAUUCAUUUAUUUUGAAACGGAAGGAGUAUAAAACAUCAAGAGCUAAUUUAUCUUUUUAUAUCUAUUUUAUCUUUUUGUUAAAUAUUAUUAAUUUUUUAAUAUUUAAAUGAAUUAUAAUAAUUAAUUAAGAAUGAUAUAAUAAAAUUAUGAUUGAAACAACUAAAACAGACAUGAUAUAAUAAAAUUAUGAUUGAAACAACUAAAACAGACAUUUCAUAAAUGUCUAUUUUAUUUUAUUUUAUUAAAUAUUAUUCAUUAUCUAAUACGUAAAUGACAUAUAAUAAUUAAUUAAGAGUGAUAUAGUAAAAUUACAAAACAAGCAGACAUGUCGACGAAUACGUAUGGUUGAAAUAACUGAAGCAGAUAUAUCAUAAACCCUUAUGAUGAGGCCUUUUCCCAAAUAUCACGUACAGCGAUAGCUUUAAUCUACCAAACUAUUUUUUUAUAGUAAAAUCAUGAAGUAAACACCACAUCAACGAAAAGAUACCUGCUUUACCCCAUUUCUAUAUAGUAUUAAUAAGUGACCUUUUUUAAAGAUACCUGCUUUACCCCAUUUCUAUAUAGUAUUAAUAAGUGACCUUUUUUUAAUUUACUUUAUUUUAUUUUUAAAUGAGUGAUGUUUUAAGCUUUUAAAAAUAAAUUGGUCAUAUUCUUCUAAAUUUAUAAUUAUUUUGCCUAACAAAUCGUUAAUUAGAUUUUCUUUUUCAGAGUAUUUAAUGAGGAAUAAGUUAUUUUCUGCAUUUCUUUUUAUUUGCUUCCUUAAUUAAUUAAAUUAGAUUAAUAUAAUUUUUAAAAAUUAAAAUAUAGAUAUUCAAAAAUUAUAUAAAAAGUAUUAUAAAUUACAAGUUUUUUUUUGAUUAAUAAAUACAUCUUAAAAUAUUAAAUUAAAUUUGUGCUUUUUAACUCUGAAAUAAAAAGAAAUGAAAGAAGUAGUAUAACAAUACAUCUUAUUUCGUUUGUGUGUUAUUAUUCCUUACGUGACGUGUCUAAGUUAAAAAAUUCACUUAUUUAAAAACGGAAUAAGCAUUUACACAUACACAUCUUCUCUUUUACAAAAGUAUUUAAUAAUUUCAGGACAAAUUAAAACUCGGCAACUAUUUUCUUUGUCAUGAAUACUAUUGCUAACAAAAGAACAAAUUAUAAAUAUACUUUCUCCAUCUUAAAAAGAAUGAUCUAAUUUAACUUGUACGAAGUUUUAGAAAGUAAACAAAACUUUUGAUUCUUGUGGCUCUAAAUUAAAAUUAUGUCAAAUGUAUCAAAAUAUUCAUCAAUUUUGUGAUCUUAAACAUAUCAUAUGUCAAAUUAAAAUUAAAAUAUUAUUAAAAAAAAAUAAUCAUUUAUUUUGAAACAAGCUAAAAAGAAAAGUAGCUCAUUUGUUUUUGAUAAACGGAUGGAUAGAAAACAAGUAAUAGAGCAAGACGUGUCAGCAUGCAUGUAUUUUUUUUUUAAGUUACUAUUCAUCGUGUCUCGAAAUUCAACUAGUACUAAAUUUUUAAUUCUCUCAUUCUCAAUGAUUUUUAACCACGUCAAGUUGAGAUAAUAUUAAGAACUUGAAUAGUAAUUUUUAAUAGUUUAGCGAGAUUCGUGAAAUCAAUUUGUUUUGAAAAAUGUUCUUUUCAGAAAAAAUAAAGAGGUAGUUUAUGUUUAAAAAUUUAGACAUUAAUGUUGACUAGAAAUUAGUGUUUGAUUAAAUUUUUUAAUAUGUUUUUAAAAUUCUUUUUCUUUUUCAAUAAUGAUGGCGGAACACUAUCAUUGAUACUCACUAGUGUUUUUUUUUUUCAUUUUAUUGAUCAAAUUUUAAAUAUUUCUAUUUAAAAAAAUGUUUUUGAAAAAACUGAAUUUAAAAGCUUGUUAAAUAUGCUAUCAAAACACACUAAAGUGGUUAAAAAUCACUGAGAGUGAGAAUUUAAAAUUUCAUAGUAAUUGUGAUUUUGAGAUAUGAUGAAAUAAUUAUAACGCCUCAUUCAUUUUAAAAACAACACAUUGCCGAAUCUCUAAACUUGACAUAAACUUUUAGUUUGACAUUUCAAUUAGUUCUUGUUCAUUUUAAAAAUCUAAACUAGUGUCCUGUUGUCGAGAUUUGUCCUCCCAUGAAAGAUUUAAUGUUGCUUUUUACAUUUCGACUUUUUAUUUUUUUUUAUUUGUUAGAUAACUAAGAAGAUAUUAAUGAGGUUCUUUUAAUUUUAUUUUUUUAAAUAAAAAGAAAUUACAUAAUCAAGAAAUUAUUAAAAAGUUAAUCCCAUCAAGUAUGCAAUAUUAAAUUCUUUUAAGUACUCCAUACGUCUAAUUAAUAAUAUUUGUCCAAUAAUAAAAAGGCUUAAAGUUUUAGCUCAUUAUCACUUCAUCGAGUUUGAAGUUGAUUUUAUAAAUCGGACCACUAGUAAAAGUUAAUUUUUACAUGUCAAAUCAAUAUAGUAAGUUUGAACCUAUAUGUCAAACCUCAUUAUAGUGGUAGUAUUGUAUUAAAACUUAAGGGAAAAUGAAACUAGCAAAUUUAAAUUCAUAAUUAAGAUAAAUAGUAAUAAUUCACAAAAAUUAUAUGAAAUAGCAAAAGAAUAAUAUUUUAGUGUCUCAUUAUAUUCCUUUGUUUUUUUCCUCUUUCUUUCUUUUAUAUCUUUGAUUUUUUUUUUCUCUGAUUUUUUCCUAUUUUUUCUUUUUACGUUUUUUCUCUCUCUCUCUCUUUUUUUUUUUUGACUGAUUUUAAAAGCUUGCUAAACAUGCUGUCAGGACAGAUUAAAGUGGUAAAAAAACAAUGAAAGUGAGAAUUUAAAAUUUUCACAGUGAUUGAGCUUCCAGAUAGGAUGGAAUAAUAUAAUCAGCACAUGUAUUUUAUGGUAUGAAUUUUGCUAAACUGUUCAUGUCAUAGCGAAUAGUUGGGGGAGUCUUAAUUUGUCCUGAAUCAUUAUACUGUAUUUUUGUUAAUUAGUGUAUGUUCUAAGUGGCUUCCUUUCAUUAGUUGCAAAGGAUUGUCCUCCAUUAAUGUUGGUUUCUCCACUAACUUUUUAAAAUUUUCAUUUGUUAAAUGUAAUUAAGAAUGUUUUUUUAAUUUUUUUUUUAUAUAGGAGAGUUUUACAUAAUCAAAAUUUUUUUAAAAAAUUAAUUUCAUUUGGUAUGAAGUAUUAAAUUCUUAUAACCAAUAUUUUUUGUGUAAAGUAAACGAGUUGCAUCGAGUUUUAAAUUCCAAAGAGUGAUAUUCUCUUUGCAUUUCUGAAUAAGUGAUAUUUUGAGGGUAUUUUUUUAAAAUUACCCUUGUUUAAUACAUGAAAUUUUACAUAUAAAGAUUAUGUUUUUCCUGAAGACAUUUAACUUAGGAUAAAUUUGUAAAAACAAUUUCUAUGUUUUAGGAAUGAGUAGGUUGUCAAAAAAUGUGUCCAAGCUAAAAAGGGGAUGGAGUAACAUAAUGUACUACUCAAAAUAGUUGUAAGAUAUACUUUUAACGAAAAAUGAUUAAAUUUACUUCUUUAUUUUGAAAAAUUGAUUAAAUAUAUCUUUUAUCAUACUUUUGAUCAAAUUUAGCCUCACUAUCAUACUUUGAGGCCAAAUUUACCCCUUUGCUAUAAAAAAAUUGGCUAAAUACUCUCCUUCGUCAUAUUUUGGGGGUCAAAUUUACUCUCAUUGUUAAUAAACUUUUCACAUGCACCCUUCUUUAAUAGAAAAAACUAAAUCAAUGUUAAAAUGAUCUAUUUUGUUAAAACAAAGCACACUCUAAUUUAACUCGCCCGAUCCGACUCGAACUACAAAAAAGACAAACAAAUAUCCUCCCUCAGUUUUGUUGAUCAAAUUUUUUUCCACGAGAUUAAAUCACUAGAUAUUUAUCAGUGCAUAACUCAUGAAAAUGUAUUCUUAUCAGUGCAAACACAAAUAAAUAUAUCCCUCCCUCAACUCAUGAAUCUGCAUCAAUGCAGAGUUUAAAUGACACUUAACAAUCAGAUCCAACAGAUUACGCCCACUGAAUAUUUCUCCGGAUAAUUGAGUUAAGAUGUCUCCUUAUGUGUCAAUCGUGAAAUCUCUUAAUUGUUAUGUCUUUAUAUGCAAUUUGGAUCUACACAAAUUUUUUCAUCAUGUUAUUUUCUCAUCACAUUUAUCUGCCGAUUCUAGAAUCUAGAUGCACAUAAAAUUACAUAUCAAAAUUUUAAAUUUGAACGUAACUGAAACAUGAGCAGAAUUUGUAAUAAAUAUUUUCUUUAAUCCCAUGCUUCUGCCUUAUCCCAUUUAUUUUUACUUUUUGUUUAUUUAUAAACAACCUAGAUAUCAGUGUUGCACGUUGAAAGAGAAGUAUAUUUGUAUACUAAAAAAAUUAUUGCAUGUUAAAAGAGAAAUAUAUUUAUUCAUUGAAGAAUUCGACCAACAAAAUAGAGGGAGAGAUAUUUAUUUGUUGUGAUUGGAUCGGACAAUUAGAUUAGGGUAUAUUUUAUUUUAAAAGAAAAUGAGUCAUUUAACGUUGAUUUGAAUUUCCUAUUAAAAGAAGGGCAAAAUUCAGAAGUAGCAUACUUAAGAGCCUAAUUGUUAUUUUUAUAGAAAUAGUUUCAUAAUUACAUUUUAUAGCAACUUAUAUUUUGUAUUUUUCAAAAAUGUUACUGUAAAAAUACAUCUACAAUAAAUUUACUGCACUUAAUUAACUGAAAUUAGUUGAGUUAUAUAUGGUAUAAUUACCAAUCAAGUAAAUAUGUAGAUUCCUUUUCCAUUUAAAACUCUUAAAAAACAUGACUUCCGUUAUAUCUUCAGAAUUCAAAUUUCAGUUUUUCCCCAUUAACAGCUGCAUCUUUUCUUAGCAAUUUGUUCCAAACCACCCCCGUUUUUGGAAAUUCAAGCAUUGCUGUUGUUGAAUCAAAUUGGACUGAUUCUUCUUCGAAAUCAACAACAAUUGCAAAACGAUGCAGUAAUUUGUUUAAAUCAAAUUUAAUUGUUGAUUCUUUUGUUCCAUUUGUUUGAAUUCAACUGUCAGUUGAAAAUUCAACCAUUACUACUGUUUAAGGUAUAUAAUCAUUAUUGUUAUUUAGUUCAUUUUUUCUUUUAACCCUUACUGGUGUGCCUAUCAAGUUGUUGUUGUCGUUGUUAAUUUGUAUGUGAAAAAAUUGUAAAACAAAUUCGAGUUAGAAUCAAGGCAGCAGUAAAAUUGGAAUUCAAAUAUCUGUAGGAAAUUUCAGCUUAAAAGCUGUUUCAAGGGAAAAAAAGUCAGUAUUCGACUAUUAUUUUGAGGAUCGUUUGUUGUUAUUUUGAUUGUUUUAACAAUAGAGCAAAUUGUAAAUAACUUUCGAAUUGAAGUUUAUUCAAUUAUUUUAUGAAAUACUAGAUAAAUGAAUGAUCGAAUGUAUCUGUUGAAUUUGAUGAUAUUCUAUGAACCCAUAUAAAAGUAAAAAAUAUCUGCUCCAUAUGUAUUUUUGAUGUUCUUAAUGGUAACACUGCAUACGUAUUUUUGAUAUGGUUAGUGUUAACACUGCAUAUGUAUUUUUGUUUUGUUGUCGGAAUUCUAUAGUAUAAAUGUAUAUUUGAAAAGAUAUUUUACUUUAAGCAAAUGUGGUGUAAAUGUAUUUUUUAAUUGAGUUGUUGGCUGUGUAACUUUGUUUGCAUUUACAUAUGAAAAGUGCGUGUUAUAACAAGUGACAGCUGACAAAUAUGUAUAUUUAUUUAUUUAUUGGUUAAAUCAAGUAGAAAUGAGAAGCAUACCAGUCCUUGUGAAGCACUCUGGCCGAUGGACGUACGAAAAGAACUUUGAAGAAUAUGUCACUGAUGCUAUACUGUUGAGCACAUCAGCAACAUUCGUUGAGCUGCAUGAUGUUUUGGCAUCUCACUUAAGUGUGGAUUUAUAAUGCUCCGAUUUGCUGAACAGAAAUGCUACACGGUGCUCAUGACUCUGAAAGACCACUAGCUAACCCAUGGCUGAUAUUUGUACCUGUACACUGUAUAAUAUAAAAUAAAAAUGCGGAAACAUACACUAAAAGGCGAUAAGGUUCACAACUGAACAUAAUCUGAAAUAUAUGACAUCUGAGUAGGGUAAUGGGAUACCCAAAACAAAAUAAAAUACUGAAAUCAUGAUAGUCUGCAUAUAGUCUGACUCUAGUCUGAAAGCCUCUACUGUCUGAAUAAUCUAAAUAAAGAUUUGAUGGGACAUACCCCCAACUAACUCCAACUAAUCAACUAAUAAAUGAGAUAAUAAAGAAACCAUCAUGUCCUCGAAGGAUGAGGACUCACUUCUGAAUCUAGCUGUUGAAAAUUGAGAUCUACUGCUAAUCUGGAGCACGUGUCUCUGAACCUAUGGUGUAAUAUAAAAGAAAGCAACAUAGAGCGAAUGCGUCAGUACAUAUGUACCGAGUACACAUGUGAGGUAGGCUAAAUGAAAUGGUUCACAUGCAUGAAUGAUGCUAACUGACUGUCUACCAUGAACGUGAGAAUACAUACAUAUAUACGUAACUGUAAUUGACAACAUAAUAUUAUGAUUUACUGAGCCUGAAUACUGAUAACAUAAUAUGACUGAUAACACGGGUGACUGAAUCUGAAUGUGACUGAUGACAUGGGUGACUGAAUCUGAAUAUGACUGAUGACAUAUUUGACCAUAUCUGACAUUCUUGAAUCUGGUGGAACUAUCUAAGUUUCGUACUGUAUCUGAGUUGACUGUAUCUAAUAGUCCUGAAAUCUAUAGAACUAUCUGAGUUCUAUUACUGAAACUGAUUGACUGUGACUGUCCUGAUUCUUUAACAUGAAACUGUGGGAAGUAGUAUCUAACCGACAUGCCCCAAUGGUGCUCUAAUAGCUAAGUUGGGAUCCAAUCUCUGCCCUGAUUGAAAGGGUGUCAAUACUGUGUCACUGGUAAAGACAACAUAUGAGUAACCCUCAUAUAACAGGUAAAUCUAGUGAGAAUGGUGGGAAACCUCAUAUAACAGUUUAAGCCACCUUAUCUACCCUCAUAUAGCAGGCUACGAUGUCUCAACCUAUGCUGGCUACAUAGUUCUGAAAUGCAAGGAUUUAUUUCUAGGAAUCACACCUUCAUAUAGCAGGUGAGUUCCCAUCCUUAGGUUCACUCGGUGCUAAUUUCUAAUCCCAUCUGAAUAGACACUAAACAUGAUGUACUAAAGCUGAACUAGGAAUUCCUGAGGACCUGGCUGAAGACAGUCUCUGACUCUGUGUGGCUUUCCAUAACCAAAGCAAAUGCCACUACCCGUUCUACACACACCCUGAUGGUGCUUACCAUAAGUUUGACACUGAGGAUAGGUGUGGGCACUGCUAACACUGGCCUGGGUCUUAGAGCCUGGCGCUCUAUUUGGGUUAUCCUCUAUGAACUUAGGAACUGGAGCACUUGCUAUAGAGGGAGCUAGAACGGAUGACUUAGGAUGAAACUGAGAACGGUUUUAUCCUUCCAAUUUAGGCUGACUGAAAUUGAAGCUACCUGUCCUAGCUUUCUUAUUCUGCUUUUCCCUCUGCUUAAUUUUCUGCUCCUCUAUCUGUUGAUCAUGGGUCAUAAGUUUAGCUAAGGUCUUGUCAUUGUUCAGCAUGGAGAAUUUGCACUCAUUAAUCAUGAUGUCGUUCACCCCAGAAGAGAACUUACUCAUCUUGGAUCUACUGUCUACAACCACAUGAGGGGCAUACCUGGCUAAUUGAGUAAACUUAAAAGAAUACUCUUUCACUGUCAUAUUGCCCUGCCUGAGGUUGAUGAAUUCAAGAACCUUGGCCUUUUUAAGCUCUUGGGGAAAGAACCUGUCUUAGAAAGUAGUGACAAACUCUUUCCACUCUAUGGAACCUGCAUCAUCUGGCCUUUCGAACUUCCACUAUUUAAACCAGGCAUGAGCCACAUCCUGCAACUGGUAUGCAUCUAGCUCAGCACUCUCAAUAGUAGUCACCCUCAUGGUAUCUGUCUCUUUCUGAACUUGAUCUAUGAAUUCCUGAGGAUCUUCAUCUACCUUAGACCCGAGGAAAACUGGAGAAUUCAUUCGGGUGAAGUCCCGAAUCCUCGCUGCAUUUAAGUUGACCACUGAGUUGGCCGAAAUAACUGUUGGCCGCUCAUUAUUAGCAACCACUGAUUGAGCAAGAGUGGUAAAUAUUGUCCUGAACUUUGCAUGGGAAAUAUGUUCACCCAAAGGUUCUUCGGGCUAAGGGGCUGACUGGUUUCUUCUCUUAGGAGGUAUAUUCUGAAAUAAAGAGAAGAAACGGAUUAGACUGAGAGACUGACUUGUGAUUAUGCUCACCGGUACGACAUGAAUAUUGAAAGAGGGGAACUGUUCUUAAAAUAUCUUAUAACCUCUCGCACACAAAUGUGGCAUGCAACACACCCAUGUCCAAGACUCUACUAGAUACGACUUUUAGACUUCCUAGGACUUUAUUGAACCUUAGGCUUUGAUAUCAAGUUUGUAAUGCCCUAAUUUGCUGAACAGAAAUGCUACAUGGUGCUCAUGACUCUGAAAGACCACAAGCUAACCCAUGACUGGUAUUUGUAUCUGUACACUGCAUAAUAUAAAAUAAAAAUACGAAAACAUGCACUAAAAGGUCAUAAAGUUCACAACUGAGCAUAAUCUGAAAUAUAUGACAUCUGAGUAGGGUAAUGGGAUACCCAAAAUAAAAUGAAAUACUGAAAUCAUGAUAGUCUGCAUAUAGUCUGACUCUAGUCUAAAAGCCUCUACUGUCUGAAUAAUCUGAAUAAGGAGUUGAUGGGACAUACCCCCAACUAACUCCAACUAAUCAACUAAUAAAUGAGAUAGUAAAGAAACCAUCAUGUCCUCGAAGGAUGAGGACUCACUUUUGACUCUAGCUACUGAAAAUUGAGAUCUACUGCCAAUUUGGAGCACGUGUCUCUGAACCUAUGGUGUAACAUAAAAGAAAGCACCAUAGAGCAAAUGCAUCAGUACAUACGUACCGAGUAUACAUGUGAGGUAGGCUAAAUGAAAUGGUUCACAUGCAUGAAUAAUGCUAACUGAUUGUCUACCAUGAACGUGAGAAUACAUACAUAUAUACAUAACUGUAAUUGACAACAUAAUAUUGUGAUUUACUGAGCCUGAAUACUGAUAACAUAAUAUGACUGAUAACAUGGGUGACUGAAUCUGAAUAUGACUGAUGACAUAGGUUACUAAAUCUGAAUGUGACUAUGACAUGGGUGACCAUAUCUGACAUUCCUGAAUCUGGUGGAACUAUCUAAGUUUCGUAUUGUAUCUGAGUUGACUGUAUCUGACAGUCCUGAAAUUUGAAGAACUAUCUGAGUUCUAUUACUGAGACUGAUUGACUAUGACUGACAGUCCUGAUUCUGUAACAUGAAACUGUGGGAAGUAGUAUUUAACCGACAUGCCCCAAUGGUGCUAUAAUAGCUGAGCUGGGGUCCAAUCUCUGCCCUGACUGGAAGGGUGUCAAUACCACGCCACUGGUAAGGACAACAUGUGAGUAACCCUCAUAUAACAGGUAACUUUAGUGAGAAUGGUGGGAACCCUCAUAUAACAGGUUAAUCCACCUCAUCUAUCAUCAUAUAGCAAGCUACGAUGUCUCAACAUAUGUUAUCUACAUAGUUCUAGAAUGCAAGGAUUUGCUUCUAAGAAUCACACCCUCAUAUAGCAGGUGAGUUCCCAUCCUUGGGUUCACUCGGUGCUAAUUCCUACUCCCAUCUGAGUAGAUAUUAAACAUGAUGUACAGAAGCUGAUCAUGAUCUAAGUUACUAAAUUUCGUUGACUGACAGAAUACUAUCGAUAUCUGAAACUGAGUGAGAGUCAUGAGAUUGUGGAGAUGUUUUCUUAAUUCAUAAGACUAUCUGAAGUCUAAGAGUUCAUAUCUUGACUGAGGUAUCAUGAAAACAUGACAUGGCUCCAGGCACACAACUAAUAUUUCGGGUACAAGUACCCCCAGGACUCGAUAGAAGAAAACUGACAUAGCAUGAUUUUCUUGAAAACUGGACUAGCAUCAUAAUACAUACUACAUUUAUAGGAGCAUUUCAUCAAACAUGUAAUGGGUAUAAACUUGUACAUACAUAGGGACUUCAUGAUAUCAUGCUAAAAAAGAGAAUAUUCCUUCAUCUAGGCAUUUAGUCAAACACAUUGUAAGCAUGGUACAUAUAAACAUCAUUAUUCAAUUCUAAAUUCCUCAUUCAAGGGUUUAAACCGUAGGGUUGCAUGAAUCUAUGACUAUAGUAAUUAAAUCCAUAUAGAAAUUAUCAACAAUCACGGAAUAGAAUCCAAUUUCACAUUUAUCAACAUGAACAUGAGCAUCCAAAUCAUGAAAACAUAUAGAAAAUCCAUAACCUGAGUUUAGAAAAGGGAUUCUGGGACUUCAUGUAUGAAAGGGGUCCAUGAAUGAACACUAUGCAUACCUGGACUAAUGUUCUUGAACUUGGAGAAGUGAAAAUCCCUUAAUUCUUGAAGAGGAUUGGAUCUUGUUCUUGGAGAUUGAAUUUAGAGAGAAACCCUAAUUUUAUUUAAUGAAAUACUAAUAGAUAAAGUGGCUAAAGUCGUGAAAAAAAGGAUAUAUAUAGACGGGUGCUAAAUGACCAAAAUACCCCUGUUAAAACAACUUGGAACAGUUGAAUGUGUCGUUCAACAGUGGCCUCCGACGGUUCGUCGGACCUGAGAUGGUCCGUUGGGCCAUACCAUCGGACCUGGGUAGAACCUGAUGUCACUGGACGUAUCCGACGGUGGACUCCGACGGUCCGUCAGGUCAUGCCGUCAGACAGGAACAGAAACUGGGUCUACUACCUCCGUUCGAUGGCGGUCUCCGACGGUCAGUCGGACUACCGAUGGCACAUCGUGUUCUGCUGUCAGAACGACGUAACCUGACUGUUUCCGUAAAAUAUCCAUAACUUCCUCAUCUGAUACCAUGUGUAUAUAAAUAAAUUCAUAUUUCAAAUCAAGUUCAAACAUCCUGGUGAUGAUUUCAAGCUAAAAAAAGGCAAGGGUAUUACAGGAGUUAACCAGAAAACGUAUUUUAGUAGAAUAUCAAAUCACUGCUAAUGCAGGGAAGAUAGAAAUAUAUAACGAUAUGGGUUUAAAAGUGUUUAUAUUGCAGAAAAAGCUGAUACAAUACAUGAAUUGUCUUCCUUUAUAUGUAAACAUUUUGGAUAAUGUUGUAGGGAGCAACUUGGCAAGUUUAUCUAUAUGUGUUGCUGGAAGAGGAAUCAACCGUAACAACUUGGAAAAAGUGAUAAAUACAACAAAUGAAGGAGCUUUGGUGGUUUGUGAAGAUACAAAAGCAUUAUAUUUUUUUGAGAUGGAUACUGUUGAGGUGAUUAUCUCAUACCCACAUCACAAGCAUGUUGAGGACGACCAAGUUUACUUGACAAAAAAAAAUUUAAAGUCAGUCAUGAAGGACUAUGCAAUUAGGGAGAAGUUUCAAAUGCGCAGUAAAAGAUCUAGUAAGAAAACAUACGUACAUUCUAUAUCACUCUGAUUUUAUUUAAUAUUACUUUGGAUAUGUAUUUUGAAUAUAUUUAAUCAUGUUUGAUGCAGUUAUACAUUGUUUUGCAAAUCAAGAAACUGCGAGUUCUUAAUGCGUGUAUCAGGCAUGGGAGACACUCGAAUGUUUAGAAUUAGAAGAUUCAUACCUGAACAUACUUGCCCAGUGAAGGACAAGAUCUAUCCAAAGGUUCAUGAAACUAGUAUGUUAAUAACUGGUAUGGUUAAAUAGAAAUUCAAAAAUCACAAACAAAAAUACAGUGCGACGGAAAUAAAAAAUGACAUGAAGGAAGAUUUUGGUAUGGAUUUGACAUACACUUUAUGUUGGAGGGCCCAGGAAAAAGCGUUAGAAGAGUUGAGGGGUAAGCCAUCAGCAUCUUAUGAGAAACUGCCAUCAUACUUAUAUGUGCUGAAUAAUACUUAUCCGGAGUCACAUAUAAGAAUGAAGAAGACAGAUAAUAAUGCAUUCGUGUAUGUAUUUAUUGCUCUACAUAUAUUCAUUAAAGGAUUUGAUCAUUGUAGACCAGUCGUAGUUGUUGAUGCUAGUCAUCUGAGAGAAAUGUAUACUGGGGCAUUUGUAACAGCAUGUACAACGAACAGAGCAGGUUAGUAUCAUUUAAUAAUAAUUACAUUGUAUAACUGGUUGUAUUUUUUUGUAUUUCUGCUGUUGACUUGAAAAAUACAUAUAUCCACUUCAUAUAUACAUAUUUGUAUAUAAUUACAUAUAGUUUCAAAGUUUCCUGAAUGAAACAUGUAAAAUUGAUUAUGUUUGACAGUUAGAUGCAUAUAGAUUUUAUUAUAUGUAAUUGAUACCAUUUCUGGUAGAUAAAAUAUACAUUUUAAUUGACCUAUAUUUGUAAUAAAUUCAUAUGCAGUUCCUAACUGUAUUUAAAUUGGCAUACACAGAUUUUUUUUUAUAUUUGCAGGUCAUAUAUUUUCUUUGGCAUAUGGUGUGCUUGAUUCUGAAAAUGAUGCAUCCUGGACAUGAUUCUUCGAGAAUCUAAAAGAAGCGUACAGGGUAAGACAAAACAUGUGUGUUGUGUCUGAUAGGAAUCCAAGUAUCAUAAAGGAUGUUGGUGAUGUGUACGAAGAUGUUCCACAUUAUGCAUGUAUGUGGCAUCUAUAGGAAAAUGUAAAAAAACUUUACAGAAAGUCACACGAUGCAUUGUCGGAAAUCUUUUAUACAAUGGCCAAAUCAUAUUCAGAGUCAGAAUUCAACAUGUUAAUGGAAAAAGUUGAGGCAACUGAUAUUAGGGUGAAGAAAUAUUUGAAAUUGGCGGGUUACGAAAAGUGGGCUAGGUCGUAUGCAAUAGUUCACCGAGGAUGGACUUUAACUUCAAACAUUGUGGAGUCAAUAAAUGGAGUGCUUGUAUCAGCUAGAGAACUGACAAUUUAUGACUUUCUUGAGGAAGUUCAAUAACUGUUUGCAAAAUGGAAUAGUGCAAAUAGGCAGGAGGCUUCAUAUACCUUCACAACACUCAUUAGAAAGUUUAAUGACAUACUCAGUGAGAACGAGGCUUUGUGUACCCGUAUGACGGUAUGACCUUUUAGAUUUGUGGUUAUUAUAAUUAUGGAAACAUAAAUAUGAAAAUACUUUCCAUGCAGUUGUAAAUUAAUGAAAAGAUAUACAACAUAGAAAAAUGAACAUUUAAAACCAUAAUAUGUAUUUUGUAGAUGAAUUUUGUUGUAUCAACAGUUAUUAACAACUGCAUAUGUAUUUGGCUGCUCUGUAAAAAUGUAAUCUGCGUAUGUAUUUUUAUUUCAUAAAUAUUUUUUUUUUCAAAAAUUCUGGUGUGCUUACAACAUAUCAUGGAAUAUGAAAUUUAUCUUUUUUUAUUUUUUUAUUUUUAUGUCAAGUUGUAUCAGCCACAGAAUAUGUGUAUACGGUACACGACAAACAAAAGCACUUCAUUGUUUGCAUCAAGGAAAAAAAGUGCUUAUGUAAUGCUUUUCAAAUAGAUGAGAUACCAUGUGCACAUGCUUGUACGGUGUUGGAGACAAAAAAAUUUGAGACGGGCCAUACCGUUUUGAUUUGUUUAAACGAAAAACAGUUUGAAGACAUAUGAUAUUCCAAUCUACCCGUUGCCACACAACAAUGACUGGAUAAUUCUAGAGAGCAUACUUGAUGAAAUAGUAUUACCUCCAAAAUUCAAAAGACCUCCAGGAAGACCUGCAAAGAAGGAUCGUGGAAAAUCAUGCUGAGAUAUGUUUGGAAAGAAGAAUAUCAACUCAUGCGGUGGUUGUGGGGCUAAGGGUCACAAUAGGCGUUCUUGUUGGAAAUAUCGUAAAUGAUACAUUUCUUCUUCUGUAUUAUUUCUUAAAACUUUUUUUUAUAAUGAUGAACUAAUUCAGUUUAGUUAAUGCAUUUAUGAAUCAUUUGACAAUUGAAGACAGUAAUAUCUGAAUAAUGGAGCUAUAUAUGUUUCAAAAUCUAUACAUUACACAUGUAUUUUCAAGCAGCAGUUCAUACGUAUUUUUAACUAGUAAAUAUAUUUUAGGUUAAAGGUGGUAACUUUGAUUAACCAAACAAGUAUAUGAUUUUGUUCAAAGAUUUAAAUAUAUGUGACAUAUUCUGCAAAUAUAUGUUUGAAUUGCAUAAUGUUAUUACUGCAUAUGUACUUAUAUUGUAAAAAUACAUUUGAUGUAUAAUCCAUAUGUAUUUUUAAUAAAAAUAUCAUCACUGCAUAUGUAUUUUGUAACUAAAAUCAAAUCUAUAACUGCAUUAAAAAGAUAAAUUUAUCUCUAAUUCAAAUUCUCUUGUAUAAUGAUUUAAAAUGAACACAUAUUAAAAUUAUAUAUUAGGUUUGAUCUAUAUGUAUUUUCCAACAGCUUUAUAUUAACACGGCAUAUGUAUUUUUUUGGAAAAUAUUUUUAAUGUAUAAUCCAUAUGUAUUUUGUAGUAAUAUAUCAACACUGCAUAUAGAUUUUGUAAAUAACUGCAAUAAAAUCUCAAAUUUCACUUUAAUUUAAAUCCUAAUUUAUAAUUAUAGGAAAUGAAAAUAUCCUAAAAAUGCAUAUUAGGUAUGUUGCAGUUGUCUUUUUGUAAUGUUUGAUUCUAACAUUUCAUAUGUAUUUUUAUGCUGAAAAACAAUUAAUUUAUACAACAUAUGUAUUUUUAAGCAUAAUAUGAAAACUACAUAUGCAUUUUUUUUAACUAAAUCUCACAUUAAAAGGUAGGACUCCAUAAAUCUCAUAAUACAUGUUAUAUUUAACAAUAUAGGAAGGUGGUGAAAAACUUUAAAGAACAACAACAACAUACUAAAAUACAUAUUAGGAAUGUUCCAUAUGUAUUUUUGCAAUAUUUGAUUUUAACACCUCAUAUGUAUUUUUAGGCUAAAUACAAUUGAUUGAUAUGAUAAAUGUAUUUUAAAAUAUAAUAUAAAAACUACGUAAGUAUUUUUUAACAAAAUCUCACAGUAAAAGGUAGAAAUCCAUGAAAUAGAACCAAUUCAAAACAUAAAAAUUAGUCUGUACAAUCAAAACCUACAUCCAUAAACUGGUUUCUAAAAUACAUAAAGUCAAAAAUCCAUCAACCAUCAUCAACAAUUUCAGUGAUACUAGUUAUUCUACUUUGCCUUGCAGGCCUCAAGGGUGCUUCGACAUCACUAAUGGCAUUUGCUUCUUAUUUUUGGAUCCCAUAGUCCCACAAAAGUGCAGCAUAUCUUGUACGAAGUGCUUUGGGGUCGAACUCAGUCGCAAUAACUUUGUGACCAUAAGAAAGACACUUUGCAUACAUAACCAUAAAGACACCACAAUCCCUAAAAAAAAAAAAAAAAGAAAAUAAAUUUGAUUAAAUAGUGAAAUAUAUUUUGUACGAACAUACAAUUUUGGUAUAUGAAAAUUCAAAACUUACAAGCUUCCACACGGUUGUUGAGGCAAAUCAUCUUCAAAUAAAACAUCAGACAUAUCUGACGAUUCUUUGUCUUUGUAUCUUGGAUGAUUUUGAAGAUCAAUUCCUUUCUUAACAUAGAAAUUACAAGCUUGGAGACACAAUGAAAUAAUCUUUGCUAUUUUCUCGAUCUCAACAAGAACAGCCGCAUAAUGACCACUGGAUUCAUAUGAAUCAUACAAAAAUAUACACCUCUCUAAAAUGAUAAAACCGCGAGAACCCAGUGAUAUUUUUCUUUAUAUUGACCGAAAUAAAAAUGUCUUCCACUGUAUGUCAUGGCACUGUAGCAUGCAUAUGGAACCCAUUGAUGUAUUCAAUAAGAUGGUGCUCUUGUCCUCCUGUAUUAAGAUUUUGAUGAUCCAUAGAAUAUACAUCAUUCAAAUAUCUAAUUAUGUUCAUAAAGUUGCAGUCAACUAUACUGUAUUUGUACUAUUCGUUUGGCUCAUUUUUGUGCGAAUUGUGUCGCCUAUACUUUGACUUCUUCCUCAAGUAGUAUAAGCAGACAUCAAUAUGUUGCAUUAGUGAAUACCACAAAAUUUAGAGCAUUCAAAAAAAUUGUAUACUAAAUAUUAAAGGGUAUGCAAGUAAAAAAUACAUAUGUUUUUUUUUAUAUUAAUGUAGAAGACUUGUGUAUCUAAAAUUGCAUUCUUAAAGUUCAGUUACAUACAGACAAUGUUAUCUAAUAGUAUAUGCAACAGUAUGUGAUGUGGUAUACUAUAUCAUACUUUGAAUACUUAAAAAUACAUAUAUGUUAAACCAUAUGUAUUUCAAUGUAACCUAAUAUGUAUUUUUAAGUAUUGUUACAGACGAAAUGAAAAAUAUUUUAAAAUAAUAUACUAACCGAGUCUGUUCAUGUCUGAUCUGCAAACCCCAUAGCAUAGAAUCAAUUUUUUUCUUCAACAGUCUCAACACCAAAAUGCAUCUUUGGAAUUUCUGAUUUUCCCCUCUUGUAAUGAUCUACUUUUCCUUUCCUAGGUAUUUUAAGGAGAUGGUAAACCAUGAAAACAUAAUUGAUGCAAAAAAAUAAUUUGAAGCAAUUCAAAAGAACUACCUCUUGGCAAUAGCUUUUAAUAGGUCGGCAGAAAUCCAGUCCUUGAAGUUCUUGACAAUCUUCGUAUCUAUUAUCCCAUCAAUCGGGUGAUAUAAAAAUGGAUGUUUCUAGAGGAAUAUGUGUAUUAUCCCUGCUGAGCUCCCUAUAUAAUUAUAGAAUAAAAUAACUUAAUAAAUACAAACGUAUUUGCAAGACAUAUUUCGUAAAAAAUUAUGUAUAUUUUAUUGUACUUACCAGCUACUGAAUCAAAUUUUUUGGUGUAUGGCGAUUCCUUGAAUUUUGAUGGUCGCUUAAUCCUUAACUUUGGUCUGGGAGUUUUAACUUCACGAUUAGCGGAUGGAUUAAUCAUGAUGCUUUUUUUAUCGUAGACAUUCAAGUUUCGUAGAAACUCAUCCGAAAUUGUGUUUUGUGAAUUAGGCCAUAAUUGUUCAUCCCUCUGUUCAUCGUUGGUUACUUUUUGUGUAUUAGGAGGUGUCCUUAAUUUCUCCUCUGUAGCAAGUUCGACUUCUGAAUUCACCAGUGAAUUUGAACUCAAAUCAGUGAUCCCUCUGUUCAUCUAACAAAAAAAUUAAAAAAAUAAUAUUGCUUUUUGUCUAUCAAAUUGAACCUAAAUAAACUCAAAAUAUAUUGUAGUAAGAUACACACUUGAGCAUGAUCUUCAAUAGCAGUCUCAGAAGUUUUUGCAUCCAAAAUUUUAUGAUGAGAUUUUUCUUGACGGUUUGCCGAUGGAUGUAUGAUAAUGCUUUAUAUUUGAUAGGCAUUUAGGCUCGGUAACAUCUCAUCAGGGAUUGUGAAUUGCGAAUCAGACAAUUAUUUCAUCAAUUUUAUCAUCGUUGGUCUGCAUAAAAAUAAAAGAAAAAAUUUAAUUGUCCUCUGGAUUAUGACAUGAUAUGAAGACAACGUUAACAUCACUAUACAUACUCGACAAUCAUAUUGAACAACCUUCUCAGAAUGUAAGUAAUUCAAAUUUAUACUUCGGAGAAGCUCAUCAGGAAUUAAUUGUUGAGAAUCAAUUUCAACAUUCAUUUUAUCGGAAUGCAAACCAGUGCACCCCUUGAAAACAAGUUAAAAAAUCAAAACAUCAAACAAACAUGUACUUGUAUCUGUUUAUAUAUAUGAAUUCAAAUGAAUAUAUAUAUAUAUGAAACUUAAUUAUUUACCUUUUUACCAAGCAAAUUUACCUCCAAUUCCUGAUCAACAUUCGAAGUUAAUCGUUGUGGUGAUCUUUCGGUACCAACAUAAUCCAUAUGCAAAUACAUAUACAAAUUCAAAUAGCCUAUUAAUACUUGAGUCAAAUUUAAUAUGAUUUUUUUAUGAAAUUAAAUAUACAUAUAUACAAACACACUAAAAAUACAUAUUUAUAUAUAACAUCAAACUCAAAAGUACAUAUUAAAGAACAUAACAAAAUAAUCACUCAGUGUUAAAUACAUAUGCAGUGUUAAAAAAUACAUAUGAAUAAAAUUAAAAAUACAUAUGCAGUGUAUUGAAUACAUUAAAAAUACAUAUUGAUAUAUAACAUCAAACUCAAAAAUACAUAUUUAUGAACAAUACUAAAAACAAACUGUGUUGCAUGUUAUAAUAUUUUUAAUCAACCAAAUAAUAUAUAUUGUUAUGUGAGCAUCCUCAAAAAUAUAUAUAUAUACACUACAUGUGAUGUAAAAAAUAAUUGUAUUUAAUGAACAAUGCAUAUGUAUUUAAUAAGUCAACAACACAUAAAAAAAAAAAACUUGCAUAUCAUACUAAAGUCAAUCUUCAAUUCUAUUCCAAAUUUGACAGUUCUAUUAACCUCAAGUGUAUCAUGGAUAUAAAAUUUAGAAGUUCAAGUAAAUAUGUAUUUGGAGCUUUAAUAUUUACCUUUGUACCAUCAGAAAUAUUAUCCGAAGAUUGAACAUCAUGACUGAAAUGUUGUCCAGAUUGCUCAAACCCUCCCUCAUUAACAUUUGGUUUAUCAGCUUCUAUAUCUACAACCUGCUCCUGAAAAAAUUAUGUCCAAUAACAUAACGAGUUAUUUUACAAAUAUGUUGUAUUUGUAUAAGGCAGUCCAAUAAGUAUACAUAUUCAAAUCAACUAAGAGUUUCAAAGAAAAAAUUUACCUUGCUUUGAGCAAAUGCUUUCUUCAUCUUUUUGAGUUUUUUUUCUCAUUAGUCCACGAAUUCCUUUAAACUCGCAACGAAUCUGUUUUGAUACAAAAUCUAUAAACAAAAUUUUAACUCAUGCUUCUUUCUCAACAUGACUCUCAGGCUUUGACACGACUACUUUCUCUACAUGAAUAUCUAGUUUUGACUGAACCUGAGGAAAAAUAACAUGAGUUGUUUGCUUUCUUUACUUCAUUUUUGAAGAAAAUACCUGUCGUGUUGGAAUUGGCUUGAAAACUGGUGUCUUCAUUACAUCAGCCUUUGCAGCACGAGGAGCUAGUGUCCUCGUUUGGGUAUUGUAAGACCCAUAAAAUCCUAAGUCUAGAAUUCAGCUCAUUUGGCUAUACAAGCUUCAAGACUUAGAAAAUUUUACAAGUGUUCAACACUUAGUCUCAUUUUAGACCUCUAAACUUUGGAGAUUUAUUUGACGACCUUUCCGACCUUCGUUUUUAGAUUUUCAAGUUGCGUUGCGAUGGGAAAAGAUCGUAGUACAUUCCGGAUAAGUUUUGGAAUUUUUUGGAUAGUGUAAGGGCGCCCGCCAACUCCGGUGGUACCCAGGUUUUUCAGCAUUCCACCUCCGUAUUUUUAAGGGCAUUUUGGUCCUUUUACACCCAUAUAUAAGCUUCUUAACAUGAGAUUUAGCCUCUAAAACACCAAAAUAUAGUGCUAGUGCUGAAAUUCUCUCAAGAACAACUAAGAACAAGUCUAGGGUUCAAUUGGGAGUUUCAACUUUCAAGCAAAUUCAACCGUAAAUUCCAUGAAUUCUUAAUCUAAGGUAUGCGUAAUGUUCAUCCAUGGAUUCCUUUUGUCCGUGGAGUUCAAGAAUCAAUCUUUAAAUACUAAAUUAUGAUUGUUUCGUGGUGAUACAAUUUUAUACAUGUUGGUGGUUGUUAUUUGUGUUGUAAAAUUGUAUUUUGAUGUAUUUUGAUGGAGAUUAUGAUCGUAUUAGUUGGAACCCAUGAAUUUGAGUGGUUUAAUAUGGUGAAACUUAUGAAUAUACCUAUGCCUUAAAGAGUGCAUGCAAGAUGUUUGAUAAAAUGCUUAGGAUGCUAGAAAUUCAUGUUUUCAUGAUCCCAAAGCAUCUAAAUGACAAGUCAAUGUUAACUACUAUAACUCAAUAUGAAUUCCAUGCUAGCAUAGUGUUGCUAUUGUUGUGGUAUGAAGCAUUCAUGAUAAUGGAGUUAUACAAUAUGUACAUGAUAUAUAUAUAUAUAUAUAUAUCCAUGCACUCCCUACUAUGCACAAGAUGUUGAGAAACUACAUGUGAUAUACAAUCUCCUACUUAUGAUAUUGUGAAUUGUGGACUCUACUCUUAUGAUCAAGUCAGUUAUGUGUGUCAGUUUCCUUCCAUCGAGUCCUGGGGAUACUUGUACCCGAAAAUUAUAGGUGUGUGUCUAGAGCCAUGUCAUGUUAUCAUAAAAAUCUCAGUCAAGCCAUGGUCUAUAGAACUCAGCCAGUCAUAUGACUCAGGAAAUCUCAAAAAUCUCAGGAUCUCGGUUAAUGCUUAGAUAGUAGUACCAUUCUGUCAGUCAACAGAAGUCAGUUACUCAGUCCAUGUAUAGUCAGUUAAAUCAUGUUCAGACUCUUUAGAUGGGAGUAGAAGUUAGCACCGAGUGAACCCAAGGAUGGAAACUCACCUGCCAGUUUAGGGUGUGAUUCUUAGCAGUCAUCCUUGCGUUCCAGAACUAUGUAGCCAGCAUAGGUUGAGACAUCAACACUGUCAGAUGAGGUUUGAUAAGGUGGCUUAGCACUGCUAGAUGAGGGCCCCACCGCUCUCUUUUGGGAACACUAUCAGAUGAGGGUUACCCACAGCCUGUCUUUACCAGUGGCACGGUAUUGACACCCUUCCAGUCAGGGUAGAGAUUGAACCCCAUCUUAGUUAUAAUGGCGUAUAUGGGUCAUGUCGAUUAAACAACUACCUUUCACAAUUUCAGACUCAGUCUCAGUAAAAGAACUCAGAUAAUUCUUCAAAUAUCAGUAUACCAGGACUGUCAGAUCAGUCAAAUUCAGUUAUGGUACGGAACUCAGAUAGUUUCCUCAGAUUCAGGACUGUCAGGCACAGUGGCCCAUGUCAUAAGAACUACAGUAUCAGUCAUGUUAGUUAUCAGUAAAUCAUGUAUUAGCGUACAGAUUCAACUAUCAUGUAUUUAUGAUUCUACUUACUAUGUAUGCAUGUUUGCACUCUCACGUUCAUAUCAGUUAGUCAGUUAGCAUUGUUCAUGCAUGUAAACCCUUUUGCAUUAGCCUACCUCACUUGUAUACUCAGUACUUUCAGUUGUACCGACGUAUUUACGCUAUGGUGCUUUCUUUCAUGUUACACCAUAAGUUUAGAAACGUGAGUUCCAGAUCAGUAAUAGCAUUCCAGUCGAAGAGUUGCAGUGAGUCCUCAUCCAUUCGAGGAUGAUAUUAUUUUAUUUCACUCAUUAUUUCAGCCCAAUUUUGCAAGACGGAGUUAGUUGGAGACAUGUUUCUUCAACUCCUUAUUCAGACAAUAUUAAAGACUUUCAGAUUUAGUUCAAAUUUAUUUCAGACUUCAGUUGUUUUGGAUAUUUGUCACCCAUACGGAUGUCAUGUUUUAUUCAAUUCUUUAUUCAUUGAAACCUUAUGGCCUACUGUUCAUGUUUUCUGCAUUUUACAUCUAUAUUAUGUAGUGUACAGGUACAGAUAUCAGUCAUGGAUUAGUGUGUGGUCCUUCGGGGUCAUAAGAACCGUGUGGCAUUCUGGUUCAGAAAAUCAGGGUGUUACAAACUUGGUUUCAGAGCCUAAGGUUUAAUAGAGUCCAAGUCUGAAAGCCGCAUCUCGUAGAGUCUUGUACAUGGUUGUGUUGCGUGCCACAUUUAUGUACAGGAGGUUAUAAGAUGUUUUAGGAACAGUUUUCCUUCUUUCAGUAUUUAUGUCGUGCUAGUGAGCAUAAUCUCAAGUUAAACUCUCAGUCUACUCCGUUCUUCUCUUAUUUCAGAAUAUGGCUCCAAAGAGAAGAAACUAGCCAGCUCCUCAGUCCGAAGAUCCUUUGGGAGAAUAUGUUUCACAUGUGGAGUUUAGGUCCAUAUUUACCAUACUUGCUCAGUCUGUGGCUGCCCAAAAUGAACAGCCACCAGUUGGUCCAGCCAAUCCAGCGGUCAACUCAACCGCAGCUAGGAUUUGGGACUUCACCCGAAUAAACCCUCCAUCUUUCUUCGGGUCUAAGUCUGAUGAAGACCUCAGGAGUUCAUUGACCAAGUCCAGAAGGUCAUAUACAUCAUGGGAGUUACUUCUAUUGAGAGUGCUGAGUUGGCCGCAUACCAGUUGCAAGAUGUGGCUCAUACUUGGUACAAGUAGUGAAAGUCUGAGAGGUUAGAGGAUGCAGGUCCUAUAGAGUAGGAGGAAUUUGUCACAACUUUCUUAGACAGAUUCUUUCCCCAAGAUCUGAGGGAGGCAAAAGUUCUUGAGUUCAUCAACCUCAGGCAGGGAAAUAUGACGGUUAAGGAGUAUUCUCUCCGAUUUGCUCAGUUAUCUAGAUAUGCCCCUCAUGUGGUUGCAGACAACAGGGCUAAGAUGAGCAAGUUUCUAUCAGCGGUGACUGAUAGCGUGGUAAAUGAGUAUAGGUCUGCGAUGCUGAAUAGAUGAUGACUUUAGCCAGGCUCAUGACCCAUGCUCAGCAAAUAGAGGAGCAGAAGGUUAGGUUUAGGGAGAGGCAGAACAAGAGAGCAAAGACAAGACAUUUUAGUUUUACUCUACCCAAAUUAGAGGGAGGAAAUCGUUCGCAGUUUCAUCCUAAGUCAGCAGUCCAGUCCCUUCCUCCCCCAGUGCCCGAGUGCCAAAAUUUAGAUACGGCAACAGAGAUAGAGCACCAGGCUCAAAGUCUCAGGGCAGUGUUAGCAGUGCCCAAACUAAUCCCCUAUGUCAGACUUGUGGUAAGAACCACAAGGGUGUUUGCAAAGCUUGUAGUGAUGUUUGUUUCGGUUGUGUCAAGCCAAGCCAUAGAGUUAGAGAUUGUCCUCAGUCCGAUUAUCAGGGUCAGCAAAAUCGUUCCACAGCUCAGUCUGGUUGCCCGAACCAGCAGGAUGCCACUUCCAGUACUACUAGUGGGCAAUGCCGAAACAGAUUCUAUGCUCUUCAGACCCAACAGGAUCAGGAAAAUUCUCCUGAUGUCAUUAAUGGUACAUUACAUAUUUUCCAUGUUCAUGUUUAUGCUUUGCAAGAUCCAGGUGCAUCCUUGUCUUUUGUUACUCCCUUCAUAGUAGACGAUUUCGAAAUCAGUGUCGAAAUUUUAGUAGAGCCAUUUUCAGUUUCUACCCUAGUAGCUAAAACUAUCAUAGAUCGGCGGGUAUACAGGAACUGCUCAGUUAUGAUAUUUCAGAAAUCCACGUCAGUAGAUUUAGUCGAGUUAGAGAUAACUAAUUUUGAUGUCAUUCUCGGCAUGGAUUGGCUUCAUUCCUACUAUGCCACAGUCGACUGCAGAAAUAGGACAGUUCAGUUUUAGUUUUCGAAUAAGCCCAUCAUAGAGUAGAAUGGUAGUACUUUAUCUUUCAGGGGUCAGCUUAUUUCCUACCUUCGGGCAAGAAAAAUAAUUUCUAAGGGGUGUACGUAUCAUCUCGUGCAUAUUAAAGAUUCCAAUUCUAAAUCUCCUAGCUUUGAAUCAGUUCCAGUUGUUAGUGAAUAUUCAGAUGUCUUUUUUGAAGAUCUUCUAGGCAUUCCUCUCAAAAGGUAAAUAGACUUCGGUAUAGACCUUCUCCUAGAUACUCAGCCUAUUUUUGUUCCGUCAUACAGAAUGGCACCAGCAGAACUUAAGGAACUGAAAGAUCAGUUGAAGGAUCUCUUAGAUAAGAGAUUCAUCAGGCCUAGUGUAUCCCCAUAGGGUGAACAAGUCUUAUUCGUGCACAAGAAAGACGGUUCCCUCAGGAUGUGUAUUAAUUAUCGUCAGCUCAACAAAUUCACGGUUAAGAACAAGUAUCCACUUCCUAGAAUAGAUGACUUGUUUGACCAACUUCAAGGUGCCAGUUAUUUCUCCAAGAUAGACCUCAGAUCAGGCGAUCAUCAGCUCAGAGUUAGAGAAUGUGACAUCCCGAAGACAGCUUUUCGUACUUGGUAUGGUCACUUCAAAUUGCUAGCCAUGUCCUUUGGUCUAACCAAUGCCCCUACAACUUUUAUGGACCUGAUGAACCAGGUAUUCAAGCAGUACUUGGACAUGUUCAUCAUAGUCUCCAUAGAUGAUAUUCUGGUCUAUUCUCGCACAAAGUGUGAUCAUUCAGACCAUCUAAAAAUUGUUCUUCAGACGCUUAGAGAUCAUCAGUUGUUUACUAAGUUUAGUAAGUGCAAAUUUUGGCUAAGAUCAUUAGCAUUCCUUGGCCAUAUUAUUUCUGGUGAUGGCAUUAGAGUAGAUCCUAAGAAGACCGAAGAGGUAAGAAACUUCCCUCGCCCUGUCUCUCCAUCAGAUAUCAAGAUUUUAUUGGGUUUGGCUGGCUAUUACAGGAGGUUUGUCGAGGGAUUAUCUAUACGGAGUUCAUAUAGAUGUUUUCACAGAUCAUAAGAGUCUCCAGUAUGUCUUUUCUCAGAAAAAUCUUAAUCUUCUUCAGAGAAGGUGGUUAGAGCUCUUGAAGGAAUAUGACAUGAGUGUCUUUUAUCAUCUGGGUAAGGCCAAUGUUGUGGCCGACACUCUCAGUAGACUCUUCAUGGGUAGUGUUUUUCACGUAAAGGAUAGUAAGAAGAAGGUAGCCCAUGAAAUCCACCAGCUUUCCAGACUAGGCGUUUGCUUAAUCGACUCUUCAGAGAGUGGUUUAUGUGUUCAGAGUAGUUCAGAGUCAUCUCUAGUUUCUGAGGUGAAAUAAAAUCAAGACAGGGAUCCUAGCCUUGUCAAGCUAAAAGAGUCAGUUCAGAAUCAUAAAGUAGAGGUUUUCUCUCAAGGGGGAGAUGGUGUUCUUCGUUGUUAGGGUCAUCUGUGUGUUCCAAGUGAAGAUGACUUGAGGUAGCGAAUUCUUGUAGAGGCGCAUGGUGCGCGAUACUCUAUUCAUCCAGGGGCCACUAAGAUGUACCGCGACUUGCGGGAGAUCUAUUGGUGAAGUGGGAUAAAGAGAGAUAUUGCAGAGUUUGUGGCUAAAUGCUCUACAUGUCAGCAGGUUAAGAUAGAGCAUCAAAAAUCUAGUGGUCCCAUGCAGGAGUUCACCAUUCUUUCUUGGAAGUGAGAAGAAGUGAACAUGAACUUUUUGAUAGGUUUGCCUCGCACUCAUCGUCAGCGUGAUUUAGUUUGGGUCAUCAUAGACAAGAUGACCAAAUCAGCCCAUUUCCUUCCAGUUCAUACCUCUUACUCGGCUGAGGAUUACUCUAAACUCUACAUCAAGGAGUUGGUCAGAUUUCACAGUACUCCACUGUCCAUCAUCUCAGACAAAGGUACCCAGUUUACCUCUCAUUUUUGGAAAGCAUUCCAAAAGAGUCUCGGUACCCAAGUUCAUCUUAGUACAGCCUUUCAUCGUCAGAUAGAUGGUCAAGUAGAGAGGAUCAUUUAGACUCUUGAAGAUAUGCUAAGGGCAUGUGUAGUUGAUUUCAAGGGAAGUUGAGAUGACCACUUACCUUUGAUUGAGUUUGCAUACAAUAAUAGCUAUAAUUUCAAUAUUCAGAUGGCUCCAUUAGAAGAUCUUUAUGGUAGGAGGUGUAGAUCUCCAAUCGGUUGGUUUGAAGUUAGUGAGGCCUCAGUCAUAGGUCCUGACUUAGUAUUUCGACACUUUAGAGAAAGUUCAGUUGAUCGAAGAGAGACUCUGGGUUGCUCAGAGCUGAUAGAAGUCUUAUACAGAUGUUCAUAGAAAGGAUCUCGAGUUCAAGGUUAAUGACUAUGUCUAUAUGAAGAUCUCUCCCAUGAAGGGAGUAAAGAAGUUCGGAAAGAAAGGAAAUUCAAGUCCCUGAUAUUUUGGUCCCUUCAAGAUUCUCAGUCGCUUCGGCAAGGUAGCUUAUGAGCUCGAAUUGACUUCAGAUCUAGCUUUAGUUCAUCCAGUCUUCCAUGUCUCAUUGCUCAAGAAGUACAUAGGUGACCCAGUAGUUGUAGUCCCUAUUUAGAGCAUUGAUGUUCAGGACAGCCUCUCUUAUGAAGAAAUUCUAAUCGAAAUCUUAGACUAUCAGACUCGUGAUUGAGGAACAAAAAAGUCCCUCUAGUCAAAGUUCUUUGGCAAAAUCAGUCCGUGAGGGAGCUACUUGGAAAGCAGAAGCAUAUAUGCAUACCAAGUAUCCUCACCUCUUCUCCGCCAAUUCAGAUCAAGUUCAAGGUAAUAGUUCUUCUUAAGAUUAUUCAGUUUCAUGCUCAUAUUCCCAGCAUAAACUUGGUAUCUACUACCACUGCAUACUCAGUCAUGCAUUCAUGUAUCAGUCCAGUUAUAAAAUCAUACAUCAUCCAUGCAUUCUCAUCUUGAGAAACUCAAUUUAUCAGAACACACAGUCACGCAUUCAUCUAUCAAUUAUCCAUGCAUCAGAUAUGUAUGAGUUCAGUAUAUUUAGCAUGUCAGUCAUGAAGUCAUGUCUCAGUCAUUCAUGUUCAAGUUCAUGUUCAGCUUGUCUUUUAUCCCCUCUUAGUUGAUUCUCAUUCGAGGAUGAAUAUUCCCAAGGGGGAGAUAUUGUAAGACCCCAUAAAAUUCUAGUCUAGAAUUCAGCUCAUUUAGCUCUACAAGCCUCAAGACGUAGAAAAUUUUACACGUGUUCAACACUUAGUCUCAUUUUAGACCUUCAAACUUUGGGGAUUUAUUUGACGACCUUUCCGACCUUCGUUUUUGAAUUUUCUGGUUGCGUUGUGAUGGAGCAAGGUCGUAGUACAUCCCGGAUAAGUUUUAGAAUUUUUUGGAUAGCCUAACGGCACGUUUGGAUACCCAAAACAGUAGCUCAGGGCGAUAAGCCUGCGUUACCCUAGCUAGAGCACUGCUCUAAGCCAGGCGACGCCCGCCAACUCCGGUGGUGCCCAGGUUUUUCAGCAUUCCACCUUCAUGUUUUUAAGGGCAUUUUGGUCCUUUUCCACCCAUAUAUAAGCUUCUUAACAUGGGAUUUAGCCUCUAAAACACCAAAAUAUAGUGUUUUUGCUGAAAUUAUCUCAAUAACAACCAAGAACAAGUCUAGGAUUCAAUUGGGGGUUUCAACUUUCAAGCAAAUUCAACCGUAAAUUCCACGAAUUCUUAAUCUAAGGUAUGUGUAGUGUUCAUCCACGGAUUUCUUUCGUCCGUGGAGUUCAAGAAUCAAUCUUUAAAUACUAAAUUACGAUUGUUUCAUGGUGAUAUGAUUUUAUACAUGUUGGUGGUUGUUAUUUGUGUUGUAAAAUAGUAUUUUGAUGUAUUUUCAUGGAGAUUAUGAUCGUGUUAGUUGGAACCCAUGAAUUUGAGUGGUUUAAUAUGGUGAAACUUAUGAAUAUACCUAUGCCUUAAAGAGUGCAUGCAAGGUGUUUGAUAAAAUGCUUAGGAUGCUAGAAAUUCACAUUUCCAUGGUCCCAAAGCAUCUAAAUGACAAGUCAAUGUUAACUACUAUAAUUCAAUAUGAAUUCCAUGCUAGCGUAGUGUUGCUAUUGUUGUGGUAUGAAGCAUUCAUGAUAAUGGAGUUAUACAAUAUGUACAUGAUAUAUAUAUAUAUAUAUAUAUAUAUAUAUAUAUAUAUAUAUAUAUAUAUAUAUAUCCAUGCACUCCCUACCAUGCACAAGAUGCUGAGAAACUACGUGUGAUAUACAAUUCCCUACUUAUGAUAUUGUGAAUUGUGGACUCUACUCUUAUGAUCAAGUCAGUUAUAUGUGUCAGUUUCCUUCCAUCGAGUCCUGGGGGUACUUGUACCCGAAAAUUAUAGCUAUGUGCCUAGAUCCAUGUCAUGUUAUCACAAAAAUCUCAGUCAAGCCAUGAUCUAUAGAACUCAGUUAGUUAUGUGACUCAGGAAAUCUCACAAAUCUCAUGAUCUCGAUUAAUGCUCAGAUAGUAGUACUAUUCCAUCAGUCAACGGAAGUCAGUUACUCAGUCCAUGUAUAGUCAGUUAAAUCAUGUUCAGUUUCUUCAAAUGGGAGUAGAAGUUAGCACCAAGUGAACCCAAGGAUGGGAACUCACUUGCCAGUUUAGGGUGUGCUUCUUAGCAGUCAUCCUUGCGUUCCGGAACUAUGUAGACAACAUAGGUUGAGACAUCAACACUGUUAGAUGAGGUUUGAUAAGGUGGCUUAGCACUGUCAGAUGAGGGCCCCACCACUCUUUUUUAGGAACACUGUCAGAUGAGGGUUACCCAUAGUCUGUCUUUACCAGUGGCGCGGUAUUAACACCCUUUCAGUCAGGGCAGAGAUUGGACCCCAGCUUAGCUAUAAUGGUGUAUAUGGGGUAUAUCGGUUAAACAAGAUUAAACAACUACCUCCCACAGUUUCAGACUCAGUCUCAGUAAAAGAACUCAAAUAGUUCUUCAGAUAUCAGUAUACCAGGACUAUCAGAUACAGUCAAAUUCAGUCAUGGUAUGAAACUCAGAUAGUUCCCUCAGAUUCAAGACUGUCAGGCACAGUCGCCCAUGUCAUCAGAACUACAGUAUCAAUCAUGUUAGUUAUCAGUAAACCAUGUAUUAGCGUAUAGAUUCAACUAUCACGUAUUCAUGAUUCCAAUUACUAUCUAUGCGUGUUUACACUCUCAUGUUUAUAUCAGUCAGUCAGUUAGCAUUGUCCAUGCAUGUAAACCCUUUUGCAUUAGCCUACCUCACUCGUAUACUCAGUAAUUUCAGUUGUACUGAUGCAUUUGCGCUAUGGUGCUUUCUUUCAUAUUACACCAUAAGUUCAGAGACACGAGUUCCAGAUUAGCAGUGGCAUUCCAGUCGCAGAGUUGCAGUGAGUCCUCAUUCAUUCGAGGACGAUAUCAUUUUAUUUCAUUCAUUAUUUCAGCCCAGUUUUGCUAGACGGAGUUAGUUGGAGACAUGUUCCUUCAACUCCUUAUUCAAACAGUAUUUAAAGGCUUUCAGAUUUAUUUUAGACUUCAGUUGUUUUGGGUAUUUGUCACCCAUAUGGAUGACAUAUUUUAUCAGAUUCUUUAUUUAGUUGAACCUUAUGGCCUAUUGUUCAUGUUUUUCGCAUUUUACAUGUAUAUUAUACAGUGUACAGGUACAGAUAUCAGUCAUAGGUUAGCUUGUGGUUCUUCGGGGUCAUAAGCACCGUGUAGCAUUUCGGUUCAGAAAAUCGGUGCGUUACAGGUAUGCUCAUAAAAAAUAUUUACUUAUUUUUUCUUAAAGGUUUCUUUUCUACUGGUGUUGAUAAAUCAACCUUCUGUUUCCUCUUUGAAUGUUCAUUGAUUUUUCUUGGUGGUGGAUCCUGAAAGUCAUUAUCAGAAUCAACAGAACGUUCAUGUUGUAUUGAAUCCUUCAUUGGUAUUUGCAAUUUUGACAGCUCCUUUUUCGUUGGCUCUAUGUUCUUAAAGACAACCUAGAAAAUAAUAGGUAAAUAAUAUAUGUUAAAAAAUUAGUUAAACAAUUGCAAAUAAAAAUGUAUAUAUGUAUACGGUAAAAUACAUACUAAUACAUAUGUAUUUAGUAACAACAAACCUUGCCAUUGUCAUUGAACAUAACAUUCAUCAAAAACUCAAAGCGUGGCCGAGGUGCAAUCGUCUUCCAAUUUAAUAAUUGGGGAAUCCGAUUAUCAACCUUCGAUGCAAUCUUUGGUGGGACAUUUGAACAACACUCAUAAAUCCACACUUGAAUAGCAAGUGGCAUUCCCUAAAUCAAAUAAAAUUGACCACCAACUUUAAACCGAUCUUCAAAAGAUAAAGCACCCUAUGAAAAAUCUUUAUAUCUUUCACUAUCGACCAAAUCGAAAUGAAGACGGGGUGUUACCACAGUUUCAACAUUAGAUAAGACAAAUGAAUGCAGGAAAUACAGAAUUGCAAAUUUCUUAGCAUUCUCAUCAUUGUUCUCCCCCCAUACUCUCUCCGUGAAUGCUAGAAAUAGUUGCCUUUUCUGUAUAAUUUCUGUUCCAUUGAAAUACUUCUCAACCAUCCUAUUUGGUACACCCUCGUCAAAAAUAAAGUCAUACAUAUUUGACACACAAUUCAAUCCAGUUAUGAUAGCAAAUUCUCUGGGAGUAAAAUUAAGAAAGGUUCCAUUAGCACAAAUCAGAAUCCUACAAGAAGAACUACCUUUACCUUAAGCGUCAUAACGCAUUUGCACAACUGUGCUUGCACUAUACAUUGUUGCUUCUUCAAUAAAUAACCAAAUAUGUUAUUAUUGCAAAAAAUUUUAAACUGUUCCUUGUUUAAAAUUGUGCGUAUGCUUUCAUAAAUAUUUUUGUCACUGUACGAACACAUGUGCGGUGCAAAUCUUGAAAGUUUUCUGACAAUGAAUAUUUCAUCACGCAUCACCUAUACAAUGAAUCAUAUAACAUGCAGCCAAAAAAUCAAGCAGCCAAUAAAAAUUAAAAACUUAUAACAGGUAUAUGUAUUUUUAUCAUAUCAAAACUGAAACCAACACUGAAAAAUACAUAUCAAAUAUACUAAAAAUACAUAUAGCCAAUAGACUGUUCUGGUAGUUAAGCUAAAAUUAACAUGCAUAUGUAUUUUGAUCAUAUCAAAGCUGCAACCAACACUGAAAAAUACAUAUCAUAUGUACUAAAAAUACAUAUAUCCAACAGACUGUUGUAGUAUUUCAAGUAAAAUUAACAUGCAUAUGUAUUUUUUACCAUAUCAAAACUGCAACCAACACUGAAAAAUACAAAUCAUUUAUGCUAAAAAAUACAUAUAGCCAAUAUACUCUUCAUGAGUAGUUAAUACAAUAAUAUAUUUUCACAAUUAUACUAUCAUCUUCACAAAUCAGCAUUCUACAAUCCCUAAAUAUCAUCAUAACAUCAAAUACAUAUUAACUACUUUAAAAAAAAUACAUAUAACUUACAACUUUAACAACAUCUUUUCUUGGAGCAAAAUACAUUUUACUCAAAAAAUACAUUUACAACAGAAAAAUACCUCUUCCUCACUAACUUCUUCAGAAUCAUCAUCAAAGGAGAUCUGAACAUCCUCAUCAACCUUACUCAAACCUUCAAUUUCUUUCGCUUUCCUUUUUUUCUCAAUUUUUUUUUAAAAUUCUUCUGAGAAGUCGAUUUCUUCAACGUUUUUUUUUUUCAAAAAAAAAUUCAUCUUCAGCGGAUCGUUGCGAAACUUCGACCUAAUCUCCUUCGGUUUCUCAGAUUUCUUUGACUGUAAAGAAUUUGAAACAACUUUAACUACAUCUUUUUGAGUUAACCCAAGACUAAAAGAUGGUCCACAAUCAUAGACCAAAUUCAAAUUUCGUAUACCACUAUUUGUUCGUGAUUUUGGUGUUUAUUCAGCCAUUAAAAUCAAAAACCUUAAAUUCUGAUUUUGAGAUAUAUUAGAGUAUACUAUUUCUGAAAUUUACCCAAAAAAAUGCUAACAUGCAAUAGCAAAAUUAAGAGUUACCUGAAAUAGAUGAAGAUAAUCUUUACUGAUGGUGCUAAAAUCGUGCAAAGUGAAAAAAAUGGAAGCGGGAAGAUAUACUUUAGGGCGAAAAGAACAGCAAAAAUCUUUCAAAUUAAUGAAAGAGAAAACUUAUGGCGUGAAAAGAGGAAAAACUGACAGUUACUUCUCUAAGUGGGUAAAAAGUAGAGACCACAUAAAAUAAUGCUAGAGAUGUUACAAUAAGUAAUUUAAUAAAACUAUUAUUAUUUUUUGUAAUUUAAUGCUUAAGUUUGAUACUUAAUGUAUUACAUGUAAAAAGUGUAAAUUUGACCUUAAAGUAUGAUAUCAAGAGUAAAUUUGACCCUUAAAUAUGAUGCGGAAUAUAUUUAAUUAAUUUUUCAAAUUAAAAAGAUAAACUUAACCCUUCUCCCUACUUUUUGUAACAAAAGUGUUGGCUCAAAUAUACACCAAUAAAUAAAGCGGCAAUGUGUCACGUCAUGCAUGUCCUUUUAAUAGUCAUUUCAAUCUAUAAACGUACUACUAUGGAAUUUUUAAAUUUUGUAACUUUAGGAUAGUUUGGUAGACUAUAUAAAAAUAAUGUAAAAUAUAGUAUAUUAAUAAUAUUUGUAUUAGUAAUAUUUGUAUUAUUUAUGUUUGUAUUAAUUAUAUAUGUAUUAUUUGUUGUACAUUAUUUGGUGUGAUGUAUAAAAAAUAAUACAUCUUACAUGAUUUCUAUAAAAGAUUUUUUUUUACAAAAAUACCUUUUUUUGUUUUUGUACACUUUUUUGUAACAAAGUUUUUUUUGUUAUUUCAAACAUAAUUACUAUUGUUGAGCUAUUAUAUAGAAGUUUAGGAUUAAUUACAAAACCUUAUCUUUGAGCAAAAAUGUUAUGCUGAUGGACUAAUAUAGUCGAAACAAAAAUAAAAUACAAGACGUAAAUUAAGAAAUAGUCUCAAUUUUUUUUAAAAAUCUUUUUAAAUACUCUCGAAGCAAAGCAAAAAUAUGUUAUAGUUAUAUAAAUCAACCAUUCAUUGUUGUAAAUUCAAAUGGUGGGAAAAGAAAUUGUGAAAUGUUUUGAAAAGAUUCACUAUUGCAAAUUAAAAUACGGGAAAAGAAAUGGUGAAAUAUUUUGAGAGGGAAAUUGACGGGUAUUAAAGCCAUUUAAUAAGUUAAUACAUGUGUUUAAAGUCUUUGUAUUACUAAUACAUAGGAAAUAGAGUGUAUUACUAAUAUACACUUCAAUACACAAUAGAGUGUUAGUUAUACAUAGGCAAAAGUCAUACCAAACAAGGUACUAACAGUACACGUUAACUAAUACAUGUAUUAUAUUUUAUAAUACACUCGACCAAAGGACGCUAAGUGAUUUUUAACCACUUCGUUGAGAUAAUAUUAACAACUCCAAUCUGCUUUGAUAGCCUGUUUGGAAGCGUCUAAAAUCAUCUUUCUCUGUGUGAAAGAUCACAGGGUGUCUACACCAUGAUGUGUACUCGUGUAUCAACAAUAUGAACGAGUGAGAACGACCUGGCCAGGACUUCAACCAAGGAGGUUCAAUAUUCGGAAAAAAUCUAGCUGAAGGAAUUUCAACACCUACUAUAUAUACAUAAAAAUAAUUUUAAUCAUAUACAAAUGAUGUAUUUUUUCGUCGAAGAAGGUUCGACCGAACCCUUAAGAAGGCCUGGCUCCGCCCCUGUGAACGACACGUGAACUUCAGAAAAUACACAUGGAUUAAAAUAAUAACAAUAAUAAACUUCUUGUUGGGGUUUUGAGCAGGGAUGAAAUAACAAAAAUAAAAAAUACAUGCAUGCUGCGACAAAUGUUAAUUAUUUAUAUUUGAGCCUGUAACUUUUUGUUAUUAAAAGUAUUCAUGACAUUGAAAAUAGUUGGGGAGUCUUAAUUUGUCCUAGGUUUGUUUAAUACUUUAGCUAAAUUAAUGUAUGUGCGAAAUGGCCUCCUUUCAUUAGUUGUCAAGAUUUGUCCUCGCAUUAAUCAAUCUUCCUCCAUUAUUUUUUAAAGAUAAGUUUUGUUUUAACGUUUUCAUUUGUUCUUAAUUAAGUAGUGAUGUACUUGUGACAUUUGUCUUAAUAUUGACUUGGCCUAUAUGUUAACAAAUACUAAUAAAUAAUACAUAUAAUUUUAUCAUAUCACCUUUCGAAUACAAUUAAUUUAUUACUUAGAAAUUAAAAUGCACUAAAUAAUGAAUAGUAUGUAACAUUAAGGAUAAAAUGGACAAAUUAGGUUUUUCAAAUUGGACAAAUAUUAUCGAAUAUUUAUUUUUAGUAUAGUACACAAGUAUUCUUGACGGAGGGAGCAGAUAAUAAAGAAGAUAUUACUGAUAUUCUUUCAACUUUACUCUUCUUUAAAUAAAUAGAGUUUUACAUAACCAAGAAACUAUUAGAGAGUUAAUUAUUACAUCUAUUUUAAAGUAUUUAUUAGGGGUAAGUUGGUAAAAAUAUCUUGUUAUUUUUAGGAAAGAUAAGCUUUUGAAAGAGUAUGCAUGUCUAACCUAAAACAACCACUUAUUUAGAAACUGAAAAAUUACUUAAAUUUCUUUUGAAGAGUUGGAAUCUCACAUACUUAGAGAUAUGUUUUGAACACUGAGACACUCUGAUAAACAUAAACAUUCAUGAUCAAAUGCAGUGACAAGCAUUUGAAUAUUAUGUCGUGAGUGCACCUGAGUUUAUCAAUGGGACGGGAAAGGUAAGGCUCUGAACGGAUUAAUUAAUAAUGGAAUUGCUAAUUAUGUGAGGCUCGAAAUAAGUCUAGCAUCUAUUGGCGGUGGCAGGUAUCGCGUGGAGUCAAUCAAGGUGCACUCAAGCCGGAGAAAAAUAAAGUCUAGCAUCUUAAUCGGCAAUAGAUGCUAGACUUAAGUACAGUAUACAUGUUAAUCUUAAUAAAAAUAAAUGAAGUUUAAAUUAAGAUAACAUACUGUACUUGAUAAAGCCGAAACUUACUGAAUAAACUAUACCCGAUAAAGUUAAAGAAAUCAUAUUACUCACUUUUUUUUUUUUUGUAUAUACGUAAGGCUAUAUGCACAUGUAACUCCAUAGUACGAGCAUAUAUUUUGUAAAAAGUAGUAGAUAUAUUUUGAAGCACAAAAAGUGCUGCUUGCUGGAGUUACCGAGAUCAACUGUAGAAUGUGCAAAAUAUGAAGUUGGAGCUGAAGUAUAACUGGAAACGAUAAUGUUCUUCCAUCAAUAGAAUGACUAUUGAACAAAGAAAACUCAACCUUUGUUUAACCAAGAUAGUUUAACCCCUAACAGAACUGAAAGAGAAGAUCCGCCAUAGUACAAUCGUUUAACUGACAUGCAACUUGCACUAAAUAAAACGAGAUUAUUUCUUAUCAAUAUGCAUUUUGUAUACCUAAUAGACUCCAGGAUGCUUAGUCAAAAAGCAAACAUAUCAACUCUCUGUCAAAAGGCCAACAUGUUGCAUCAUCCAUGUUAACUUCACAUUACUGCAAAUGGACUUGCUCAAUUGUGGAAACAACUUCCUCAAUGCUCUUAAUGUUUCGCCUUUCUUUCAGAAGCUUUUUUGCACAGUUAAGCGCUUGUCGUUCACAAUCAGCUCGUUUGGCAACAUCCUUGAUUGAUUCAAAAUCCUCCACAUGAGCUACCCCAACUAUUCUCCUGUGUAAUAAUAACAAAACAAGAAUUUCAAUCACAUGCACCAAGACUUCACAACUUUCUUGGGAUUAAGAAGCACAUUGCUCUUGAAUCCCAGAACAAAGCACAGUUGCUUGAAAUGAAUGUAUAUUUUUCCUAAAAGAACACUUUUUUGGCAUUAGACGGCAUUGUAUCUUGUCCACCUAUAAAUAAACAUACACAUACAUGUCUAUACAUAAUUACACGUGCACACACAUAAGUUCCUUGAGCAACUUAGUGCCGUCUGAGUUACAAAAAUUGUCGUGGGAAUCAAGCUACUUGCUUUCUUCACUGGGCAGGCGUUGUUAAAUUUUUUCAAUUAAAAAAAACAGAAGAGGACAGAGAGAAAACAUGCGUUAGAACCAUGAUUAGAAAAAGAAUUCACCAAUCACCUUAUCAUUUUAGCAGCACCAAAUCCAAGGGUGUCCUCAAAGAGUUCUUUCAUGUAUUUCUGCUUUACCAGUUGUUGAAGCCCAGUAUUAUUGUAUAUUUCAGGAAGAUAUGCCUCACCAGGACCAUCCUUGUGUUCAUCCCAGAGAGCAAGAAAUUUUUGGUGAAAGAGGUUCCAAGUCUCUGUUAUUGUCUUCAAAAUCCAAACUUUAUAUGACUGGAAACAAACAAGUUCACGAGUAAGUACACAAAAACUACGUCAGUGUAUUCUUGACUUUGCAAAUAUUUAAGAAAGAAACAAAUGUCAAAUCUACCAAUCCAUAAUCGCAUCAACAUGUCCUCGCCAAAAAAAAAAUCUUAUACAAAAACUAAUGAGAUGAGGAGCUCGUCACUAAAAUUUAAGCAAGAAGCAAUAGGAGAAAAGACGUGAAAGGAAAAUAAAGGUGGCCCGUUCUCAUUUCUCUUUUUUUUUUUAAUCCCCCUAUUUAAAACCUUCACUGUAGGGACUAGUGUGUGACCUGUUAACUUUUGUACCCGAUCACUGAGAUAAACCCUAAAACAAACCUGAUUUAUCAGUGAAUCUUCUAUGCAGAUAGUUUCUUUCCAUCCUCGAUCAUUGCAGAACUCAUCAGCAUAUGAAGGUUAUAUAAGGAUCUUUCAUCUCACAGGAAGUUAAUUUGAGCAAGUUUAAAGAAUUUAAAAGUCAAGAAACUGAGUUAACACUUGAAAAGAAAACAUUCGGAACACUUAUUAGCUGUGAAGAAAUUUAUGAACUCAUUGAAAUCUCGAAGAAAUUUAUGAACUCGUUGAACUCUCUAGACGAACAUUUAAAUUUACAAUCAUAUCUUUGGAAAAGCAACCUAGUGACAAGCCUCAAUUUCUCAUGAUGAAUCAAUUUGGCAUCAGGACAUGUUCUUUUCUUCUUUUUUCCUUUAACUGGUUUCUGGAAUUAGGACAUAUAUCUGACCAGGUGCAAGCCAUAUACAACUCUAAGCAGCCUCACAGCACCUCAACUUUAUCCAGAUUGUUUGAUCUGGUGUUACAACAUCUGAGGAGGUGCAAGCCAUAUACAACUCUAAUCCAAGAACAGCAAUCACAGAAAUUAAGGACGAGAGAUUCAUGGACAAGGAGAAAAAACAAAAAGGGGGACAAAGACCUCUACAAUGUAACAAGGAGAUCGCAAUAAUUAAAAACAGAUAACGGAAAGGCAAAUAUUGCAGCAGAUAUACCUUGCGGUCAUUGGCCUGAUCCGCGUGUCCAUCUUGGGAAAAGUACGCCAGAAUUAGAUUUCCAAUAAAUGCUCCAAUAUCAAAACCCAUUGGCCCAUAGAAAGCAAAUUCUGGGUCAAUUACUUGAGUCGAAUCGUGAGUGACCAUCAAAGAACCAGUAUGGAGAUCGCCAUGUAUGAGAGCUUGGGCUCUCUCACAAAACCUACAAAGUAUCACAUAAAGGUUGUCGUGAGUUUCCUUAUAGAGACAAAAACAUAUAAAAGUCAAGCAGAUCAGUUGGAUGCUCUAAAGCAACAUCUUCUAAGACUCACAAACGUACUUGGAUUUAAGCUCAGCAACUUCAAUCUUCAAAACAUCAUCGUUGCGAACUGCCUCUGCAUCAGCAUCAAGAUAAGGAGAUGUACAGUGAUUAUAUUGUGACACCUUGUAGGGGUCCGAGAAGACAACCUGCUCAGUGAGCCUACACAACUCGACGUUUCCACAAAAUUCAGCAACUGCAAAAAUGAAUUUAAGUCAAAAUCAAAUGGAAAUAACAAUGAAGAGGUGGGGAAGAAAGUGGAGACCAAGAAAGAGGCGUAUGCUAAGUUGGUGGAAAGUAAGGACGAAGAAGAGAAGCGGGUAAACAGGAAAGAGUACAAGCUAGCGAGGAAGGAGGCGAAGUCAGCGGUCACGGCAGCUAAGACGGCCGCUUUUGAGAGCUUGUAUGCAGGGUUACAGGGGAAAGGAGGGGAGAAGAAGUUGUUCCGACUCGCUAAGGCUAGGGAGAGGAAGGGUCGUGACCUCGAUCAGGUGAGGUGCAUUAAGGGGGAGGACGGUAGAGUGUUGGUGGAGGAUGGCCACAUAAAGAAGAGAUGGCAGUCGUACUNNNNNNNNNNNNNNNNNNNNNNNNNNNNNNNNNNNNNNNNNNNNNNNNNNNNNNNNNNNNNNNNNNNNNNNNNNNNNNNNNNNNNNNNNNNNNNNNNNNNNNNNNNNNNNNNNNNNNNNNNNNNNNNNNNNNNNNNNNNNNNNNNNNNNNNNNNNNNNNNNNNNNNNNNNNNNNNNNNNNNNNNNNNNNNNNNNNNNNNNNNNNNNNNNNNNNNNNNNNNNNNNNNNNNNNNNNNNNNNNNNNNNNNNNNNNNNNNNNNNNNNNNNNNNNNNNNNNNNNNNNNNNNNNNNNNNNNNNNNNNNNNNNNNNNNNNNNNNNNNNNNNNNNNNNNNNNNNNNNNNNNNNNNNNNNNNNNNNNNNNNNNNNNNNNNNNNNNNNNNNNNNNNNNNNNNNNNNNNNNNNNNNNNNNNNNNNNNNNNNNNNNNNNNNNNNNNNNNNNNNNNNNNNNNNNNNNNNNNNNNNNNNNNNNNNNNNNNNNNNNNNNNNNNNNNNNNNNNNNNNNNNNNNNNNNNNNCCUCCCUCUCCCACCCCUCCCCGAACCAGCCCUACCGCCCGGCCUAGACCCCACACCCGCCCCUGCCCUCCCCUCUUCACCCCUCCCGAAACUAACCCCCGCCCUAGCCCCCUCGGACAUGACCGUACUCCACCAUCAACCCCCAAAGCCACUACACAAAAGUCGGAACAAAGCCCCAAACAGACAGGCAAACAAACAAGGCAAAAACAGGACAAAAAACUGUCACGCACAAAACUUAGUCCAACCAAGCCAACAAUAAAUUAUUCUAAUUGAUAAUAGUAAUAUGAAUCCCCUCAUAAAUGGAUCUAAUUGCAUUUCACGCUCUAAAUUUUUGAUGAUUCAAUUUAUCGUUUUAUCAUUCUUGUAACGUAUUCAACGGGAGAUGCCUUGGUGUAUGUUAUUUGCCGAUGAUGUUGUAUUGACUGACGAGACUCGGGAAGGAGUUAAUGAUAAUUUGGAGGUUUAGAGAUAAAUCUUUAAGUCUAAAGUGUUUAGGUUGAACAAGACCAAGACGGAGUACUUGGAAUGUAAGUUAGUGAUUUUUUGCAUGAGGCUGACGUGGUAGUGAAGCCGGAUUCUCAGGCCAUUUAGAAGAGGGAGAGUUUCAAGUAUCUUGGGUCUAUGAUUCAAGGUAAUGGUGAGAUUAACGAGCAUGUCACGCACCGUAUUGGUGCAGGGUGGUUGAAAUGAAUUCUCGCUUCGGGAGUCUUGUGUGAUAAGUAGGUGCCUCCAAGCUUAAAGGUUACAGAGUGACAAUCCGACCAACUAUGUUGUAUGAAGCGGAGUAACGGAGAUGAGGAUGUUGCGAUGGAUGUGUGAACUUACCAGGAGGGAUAGAGUUAGCAAUGAGAUUGUUCGGGAGAAGGUGGGAGUGGCUUCGGUGGAGGACAAUAUGCGAGAAGUAAGGCUGCGAUAGUUCAGGCAUGUGAUGAGGAGGGGCACGUAUGCUCGAAUACAGAGGUGUGAGAGACUGACUAUGGAUGGUUUUAGGCGGGGUAGAGAUAGGCCGAAGAAGUAUUGGAUGGAGGUAAUUAGGCCUGACAUGAAGUAGUUAUAGCUUACGGAGGACAUGACUCUUGAUAGGAAGGUGUGGAGGAUCCGGAUUAGGGUAGAGGGUUAGUAGGUAAAGUACGUCCACAAUAGUAGGGAGGAGUGCUUUGUUUGUACCUGUGCCUGUAGUUUCUUCUAGUUUCUUGUUCGUGGUGUUUCUAUGAUUUUUGUAAAGGUAGUUUAUAGUAUUACCUUUUGGGUGUCUUGUUUCCUUUAUUAUCUAGAGGUGUGAUAUUCCUUAUGGGUGCCGUAACUAUGUUAUGUCAUCUGCUUCUGUGUUGUACUAUGUGUUUGUGUGAUAUCUCGUGACUUGAGCCGGGGGUCUUUCGGAAACAGCCUUUCUACUUCAUCAGAGGUAAGAGGUAUGGACUGCGUACAUCUUACUCCCCCCAGACCCCACUAAGUGGGAAUACACUGGGUUUGUUGUUGUUGUUGUUGUUGAAUUGGUUCUGGGAAUGAGCUAACAGAAGCUACUCAUAUACAUACACCCUUAUAAGGCUGACUGAUUAAAAGAGGUAUGCAAAUAUGUAUAAAACCAAGGGAGAACUGAGAAGAAUGUGUCGCAUGUCAAAACCUCAAGAAAAGUAUAUGCAAUUCUCCCCGAUUUUUUUAAAAGAAUGUAAUUCUCCCGUAUUGAACUCAUAUGAAAGUUGAAUGAGUUUCUGAACUACAAGGAAUGUGCUCAAGAUCGGAAAAAAUUAAUUUAGCCAUGUGAAUUUGAUCAGGUGUUAAAUCUCAAUAGCCAUCUACAAAUGUCCAGCAGUACUGGGUUUGUCAGUUUGAACUUUAACUUUCAACCAAAAUAGUUGCAUAACACCCCUAACAAGAUAUAUUGAAGAGACUAGCCGAGUCCCA
This 71847-nucleotide long non-coding RNA is filed under the name Capsicum annuum. RNAcentral describes it as "long non-coding RNA (CANN_LNC013237)". The record is from RNAcentral. Lineage: Eukaryota; Viridiplantae; Streptophyta; Magnoliopsida; Solanales; Solanaceae.